RNAcentral lists this long non-coding RNA (54757 nucleotides) under Vitis vinifera (wine grape). RNAcentral describes it as "long non-coding RNA (VVIN_LNC000787)". The record is from RNAcentral. Lineage: Eukaryota; Viridiplantae; Streptophyta; Magnoliopsida; Vitales; Vitaceae.
GGCCUUACAUAAAGCUGAUGGUCAUCUGCUGGAUGGUGAUACCGCAUUUUGAUGGUUCAUAUUAUGUCUAUCAACACCUAGUUCAUCCAUGCUUGUCCAUUGAUCCACAAGUUGUCAUGAAUUGGCUUUUCAAUGAAUCAAAAAAGAAGUUUCAUAGCAGAGAAAACUUUCUUGUUUCAGCAGACCAAUAUAUUAAGGAGAAUGGACCUGAAGCUUUGAAGAAACUACUUGCUAGGAAGGUAUGCCAUUAUAAGUAGGAUUAUCAACAAGUCAAACAGAGUUUUAUUUGAGAUGUUCAAGUAAAAAAUGACUAUAGCAGGUCAUCUAGAAUUAUGUGGUCUAAAUUCAUGUAUAUAUCUAUAUAUAAUUGUGUUCUCUUUUUUUCACAUAUGCAUGUGCAUUUAGAUUUACAUAAUUAUAUAUGCAUAAUCAGAUUCAACUGUGAUAGCCCGGGAUUUAAUUCAGUAAUCAACUCUUCUGGGAACAUGUUGGUUAUGGUUUCUCUCUCACUGUCCUCUUAUUUAUACAUGACUUUGGCUUCAGUUGAGGAGCACAAAGCCUAAUGUUGAAGUGAAAGAGAUCAAAGCACCUGCAGCACCGGAGAAAAAAGGGGAAGCGGUAUGCACUCUAAUGUGGCUAUUUUAUUUCUAUGGAGGCAGAUCCCCAGAAAAAUGUUGCUCAUGUAAAUUAGUGAUGCAUUUAAAAGAAAAACCACUUUAUGUAUGUUUCUGUGAAAAAGAGAACAAGUUUAUGGAUUAAGUGAUAUUUUUUAUGGUGAAAUAAUCAAUAAUUUUCAAAAUAAUAAUAUAUUCGUGCAUGUUUUUGCAAUUCAUGAAUUCCUUUUACGAUUGAUUCUUCUCACCUCAGUGGAAGUGUGAAGAGCCUAAUGUUGCAGAAAAGGAGAUCCAAGUAGUCAAAGUAACAGACAUAAAAAAUGGGGGGAUGGAGCAAAGAGGGUAAGUUUUCCUUUUUAUUUAUAAGGAAGGCUGUCUUCACACAAGGAUUAUUGUUAUUAUUUUUAAGACAUGAAUGUUGAAUGCAUUUGGAAUUGUCGUUGAAUCAUGUGAAGUGUGAAGGUGCAAAUGGUGCUAAGAAGGAGAUCAAAGUGAUGGAAGUAACACAGAUAACAUUUGGUGAUACAGAACAGUGGGUAAGGUUUCUUGUCAUACUUAAACGGCACCUCAUAUUUCACUAGGAUUAAUUUUGGCCUACAAACAUAUUUGGCUACAAGUUGAAGACAGAUUUCCAGAUACUGGUAGAAGUUGAGACAUAAGUAAUGAAUGAGUUUAGAAACAUGCACAACUCUUGUGUGAAACACAAUGAGAGUGGAAAAUAGCUAAGUUGAAAAAUGGCCAAAUACUAUUUUGUAGUUCCCCCCACCACUUAAGUAAUUUUUGUCAUCCUUUGUGAAUGGACAAUGCAGUCCCUUCAGUAAUUCCGCUAUAUUCAUGACUUGGUGAAGCAUAUAACCAUUAGUGUCUUGUCCUAAGUUGACCUUUAAUGAUGAUCCAUUGAGAGGGAUCUGACUUUUGUCAACCCUCUUAGAGGUUAAACAUACGGGGCUUAACCCACUUUUCAAUCUCAUUGGAUAUAUGGCACGUGGUAUCCUCUUCAUCUUGAAAGAGUGAAGUGGUCAUACUCUUUCCUCCGAGUCCAUCGUGGCCAUGCACUUCUGGCUCAUUGGGCUGAGUGAAAGGAUUCCCUUCUGCUUCAAAUCAUAGAGAGAUAUGCCAUGGUCAGCCUCUUUAAUUUGAAGGAUUGAAGUACUCAAAUCCAUUUCUUUGCAUCCAUCUUAGUCCUGCUUCCAUGUCUCAUGGUUAACCAGGAAGAUCAAGCUUCCAUCCAUGAGAUCAGCAUCUGCAGGGUUAUGACUCCACCCUUCCUUGGCAUAGGAAAGCGAUCAUUAAGCCACAUGUCGGAUGACAGAAGUCGUCAUUCAGGUUAUCUUGAGAACUAGGGAAGUUGGAAUUCUAAUUAUUGCAUAUGGUUCUUGAUGUUUAGCCAAUAUACUAUAGGAUUUUAAGCAUCAUGCCCAUGUGCAUUGUGGUUUUUUAUCAGCUAUAUGGUUUACCAAACUGAGGGAUUGAUUAUAGUCAUAAGUACCCUUUUCCCAUUAAUUUCUUGCAUGUGCUUUGCUGAGAUUAUGUUUUUGACAGUGCUAAUCAGGGCAAACCAACAAACAGCUUUAUGUUAACUUUUACAAACUGCCACAUUUUCAGGUUGAACGAUCAGACAUAAAUCUUGGUGAAACUAGAAGUAAUACAACCUGUGCUGUGGAGAUAAAAGAAAGGGCAGCAGCACUGGUGGCUGCAGAAAUUGAGGCAUGUAGAGACAAUAGAACCCCCGAGAUACCUCUGCAUAAGAAAGUCCAGAAAGAGUGGGCUUGUGCUGUAUGCCAGUUCACAACCCAAAGUGAAGUGACCUUCAAUUCCCACCUUCAAGGGAAGAGACAUCAGGCCACUUCUGAGCAGUUGAGAGCCAAAAACCAGGCAACCAAAACCAAUUGUUCCCCAUCUGCUUCAAAGGCCAAGAAAUCUGAUCAGUCCACCAAAGAGGAGCAACCAAAGUGUCCUUCCAACAAUCUGAAUUCCAAAAACAAUGGAAUCUCAGCUGCUUCAACAGUGAAGAAACCUGACGAGACCAAAGAUGAUGAGCAACAAAAGUGUGCAUCCAGCAAUGGACCAAACCAGAAGAAUAACAAAAAGCAAGAGGAGAAGGUGCUAGUUCUUGAGACCAAUGAGCAAGGCCAUCAGAAUAAUUUUGAUCCACGAUCCCACAUUUAUUUUGGGUCUCACAAGUUUCAAAUUUGCAGAAAAAUGAAAGAUGUUUGAGAGAAAAUUAAAUCAUAUUGCACUACUGUUAGGAAAAAUAUGGCUGAAUCCAAUUGCUUUUCUUCUCCAAGUCUAUUAAAAAUAUAAUUUUUUCUCCAUUCCUGACAAAAUUUAAAUUUUUUCCUUAAAAAAAAAAAAAUUAAGUUUGAUCACCUAACACAUCUUUCUAAACUCAAUCUCAACUUGAAAAAUCAAACCUUAAUGGAUGGACUAUAGAAAUAGUGAGAAAACACUUCUGGGGUUUUUUUUUUCUUCCAACAUCAAAUUUUUCUAUAUAUGGGAUUUCACAUGCAAAAGCAGGAGUAGAUUUGCUUGUGUUUGAUGUAUGUAUUAGAAAAAUUUGUCCCUUCUGGGAUGUUUAAUACUUUUCUAUUCUUUUAUAUGCAUGUUUAGCUAGAAGAUAUAGAAUCGAUACCAUUCCUUAAAAGUGAUAGCCACAACUGUGAUAAUUAAACACCAAAGAAUGUGAAGAUCUAUAUAUUCUUUUUUUUUUCCUCUCUCUUUCAAUAAUGAAGCUAAGAUGUGUUGUAAGCAUCAAAUGCAUUGUCUCUGCUUGAAUAUAUACAAAGCCAAGGACCACAAGAUGGAUAGAUAUGGGGACGCACAAAACUUCUCAAACAUGAUUAUAUUAAUCAAGAAUUCAACUAAGCUUAAAUUCAAGAUGUUGAUUUCUAGCAUCUCUGGUGCUAUAGGAUGACUAUUGAUCCUGUACUGUUAUGUGCCCUACUGAUAUAUUCUUCGGGUUGUUAUGUAUAAAUAAAAUUUUUGGGAAAGUUUGCUUGGUGGUUACACUAUCACUAUUUAGGCCAGUAAAAAUUGGAAGCCUUUGUAAAAAACUGAUGGUCCAAGAGCUAUUCUACUUCAUCAUCCAUGUAAUAUGACGAUACAAAUUUGACUAAAUGCAGCUAUAGAAGGCUUAGGACCAUAAACCAAGCCUAGUCGAUGUCACUCACCUAAAUUUAUGCAUAAAGCUUUUGGAUGGCUCAGAGUUAUAUUUAAUUACUGUUAUGUUCGCAACUAUAUUUUCAUUGGAUUUAUAGUCCAGCUUGAGAACUAGUCCUCCAUUGCACAUAAUGUCCACACAAGGCCACAGUGCCCGCUCAAAGGCCAUAGCGCUACUCAAGGAUAUAGUGCUUACUCAAGGCCAUAGAGCCCACCUAAGGCUAACGACCCAAAAGGAGAAAAAGGUUGGUUCCACGUACUCUAAUAUUUACUAGAAAAGGUUCUUCCUAUUAAAGAACAAAAAAUUGCAUUCCCUUGUGACCAAUCCAAACAGUAGACCACUGACUUGUAUAAGGCAUUAUUCACCAUGCAAGCACUUUUUCAGCAACCUACCAUCUGGCAUGAACCAUUUUGGAUUGAUUCACAAAGCAAUGGUGUUAUAUUAAGCAUAUUCAAUAUAGAACCAAAUUGUGCCUCCUUAGAUUAACUAAAAUAUUUCCAUUGCAAGAUGUGCAGAUAGGCAUAUGAUCAUGAAGUAAUUUCCUGAUGAUAAUACCCCACAAAAUAUUUCUUUUUCUCACUGAUCUCUCCUAGAUUUUCAGUUCACCCAUCCAUGGCGCCUGACUAAAAAUGGGGGCAUUUUGGAUACCCCGAGCAGUAAGUUAGCCUGGUAGGCAUCCCGUUGCAAGCAAAGUCAACCCGAGCGGUCCAUUUGACCAAAGCUUAUCCAGGCAGUAAGCGUCCAUAUACAGCUAACUGUUAUGCACCAUCAACAGGUUGAGGUUACAAGAUUAAAGAGUCAUAAUGGCCAAAUGGAAGUUACACGACUCGGCCUAUAUAAUAACAGUAUGACAAAAAAUGCAGGUAUGAAGAACUAUCACUGAAAAAAUUUAUUCCUAAAAAUCCUUUAAGCUCCUUUAAGCUAACUUGGGCAUUGGAGAGGUCUCUCCGAAGCACACUCGAGCUUACCUUUUUGUAAGACAUCGAGAACAAGAGGCAUUGAAGUGAUUGUCCGGAGGGUUGAACUUGGUCGGGAACCAACAAUACACACUAUUCAAAAAUAGGGAUCAUAUUAAAUUAUUAAUGCAACCAUAGGAAGCAAUUGAGGACAAGGGUGUUAUUUGAUUAAAAGGGUAAUUGAAAACCUAAAUUUUGAAAUUUAACCCUCCAUUCUAUUUGGCCUUAUGUGAACAAAAAUGCCUUCAUUAUUUUCUUGUAAAAAUAACUCACCCAUUUAAACCUUACAUGAAAAUACUUAAAAUGGUAAAUGAUAUGUUAAAAAUUGAUUAUUUUUCAAAUAAAACAUAAGAAGGGUCAAAUUCAUGAAAGGAUUAUUUCAUCCCUUUUAAUCAAUUAAUUCGAUUUAUUUCUUUUUAUUUUUUUUCUCUCCAUGUUAAUUUUCACAUCACCCAACAACACCACUCUUAAUUCACACAAGUUUGAAGUUUUUGAAUGAGAUAUAUUCGUAAUUAUAUUGUAAUUGUGUUAUAAUAACCAUUUCGUACUUGGAUUUGUUCUUUCAGUCCAUUUAACCUUUUUGUUUAUUCAUGUCAAAACAAUGUACUUAUAAUCGAAUCCAUUUAUGACAUGUUGAUCUUAUAUAAAUUUAUUAAUUUUAUAUAUUUAAAAAUUAUAAAAAUUAAAUAUACUUUUUCAAUUAUGAAUAUCAUAUUACUAAAAUAUUAAAUAACAAAUUAACUUGAAAUGCUAUAUAUUUCAUUAAUUAUUUUAUAAUUAAAACAUUAAAUGAAAUAAUAAACAAGUAUAAAAUAGAAAAUUCUAUCUUAGUUAGAAAUUAUAAACUGUUAUUGAGACAUAUAAGUAUUAAAAUUCUACCCAUUUCACUACCAAACAACUUAUGUUUUUAGUCAUAAUUUAACCUUAUGAUGAACACUUAAAUAAAAUUUGUCAUCUUUUUCUAUUGAUUUAUAUUUAUUUAUUUAAAAAUUUUGUCUGGCAUAAACUAUCAUCUCACAAAAUCAUCAUUGAUGAGUAGGCUAUGCCCCAGUGUAAGCAUCUCCAAAUCAAACAUCAAUGAGAGGAGUACAACCAAUCAUACAUCAUCUUAUCAAAAUGAAUCUCCGCUUUUCAAAGUCAUCGUGGUAACGUGAAGAGAGUAUUUGACCUCCUCUAAAGAAAAAACAUGUCUUGAUGUGAAAAAGAUCAAGCAAAGUGGUAUGCCUCAACAAAAAUGUGCUCAAACAUGAUCAUGCCCCGAUGUAAGUUAGUAUCUCUAAGAUCAAUCGCCAAUGAAAAGGUUAUUCCCCAGUAUAGGGCAAACUCUGAAAUGACUAAACUCCGUUGCAAGCUCUCAUAAGUGUCUGUGUCAUGAUCCAAUCAUCGCAAAAAUUUGUCAACAAUGAUGAGAAGGCUAUGCUCCUAUAAUCACAUCAAAGAAAUCACUCGGUCAUAUUACUCCAAUGUGAAAGAAAUCUAAUCACCUCCAAGGAACAGCUAUGCCUCAAAACCAUCAUCGACUGAGAGGGGGAUGCCCCUGAUCCAAUCACCACCCUAACUAACGUACCCAUCAUGAGGAACACUUGUUUGAGCUCCAUAAUGGGGAUCAACCAUUAGAUGAACAAGAUUCGAAUAUUACUUGCUCCCCAUUUCAACCAAUGAAUGAUGUACCUGGAAACCUUGUAGACAACCAUAGUUUUCAGCCUUCUUCCUCGCGAUCAUCUAGAACAGAGUCGGUAAGCUUCACUCAUUUCUUAUAAUGGACCUUGACCCACAACGUCGAACUACCUGUAUGCAAAAUUAUCCGUCCAGAAAACCCAUCCAUACAAUUCAGGUUCAAAACCCACAAGAACCACCCUAUGAAUAAACUAAUUAUAGCUGGCUUCGUUGCAAUAGGCAUUAACUUUCUUAUGCUGACAGUCCUAGCAUCAUUUACCAAAGGAUCAACAACUUUUCCAUGUCAGAGAACAUUAUCAAUCACAAUGACACCCCUGGUCCUCACUAGUUGCGAUAGCAAUUUAAAGUAUUCUUGAUUCAAAGGGUAAACAAAACAAAAAAGAAAACCCUAAGUGUGACUCCUUAUUUGAAAAAUGUGGUUUAUGAAAAACCGGAUCGAGCUUAGGGGUCAGGUUACUUAUCGGGAAGGUACAAAAAAAACCGUAGCACCCCUCUAAGUCCCUAAAAUGGGUCUCUAUUGAUAAAAUGAAGCAAUCAUGGCAAUUGGUAAGGAAAUCAUUGAGUAUCAACAUGAUCACACAUUGAGAGUUAAAGCAUGCAUGAGGAAUGGUCAAAGUGAGAAAGGAUGCGUACCUUAGCAACGAGUCCCAAUGCGCUAUCAAGAAAUUGGGUUAGUGCACAAUCAAUAAAUAUAAAAUAUAACACACAUGCAUCACUAAAUAGGGUAAUAAAUCCCCGAUGACAAACCUUGCACUUCACUCAGGUUUAUUUCUACUUCUCUGAUGUUGGGCCCCACCAAAGCUCAUUUUAUUUUGCAUGAAUCAACUCCAAUAACUCCAUUAUUCGGAAUUACGAAAUUUAAUUCUUGCUUAUUUUAAAGCAUUUUAAAAAUAGAGGAGAUAUGAGAAUUGCUCGCCAGAAAAGAAGAUGGCGGCAAAAUUUUAAUGAAAAACGAGUUUUUGGAACCUAAGAAAAAUGUUAAGGAUGGAAAAUUUUGGAGGUUUGAAAUUAAUUAAAAAUUAGAAUUGAGGAAUUUAUUUACAAAAUGGGGUUUAGGAAAAUUAUUUUCAAAAAAAAAAAAUGAUGAAAUGAGAGAUGGCACGUGACACAAGGGUGGCCAUGCUGAAGGCGUUCUCUUCUGGCCCAAGCUGGAAAUGCACUCCAAUUAUCCUUCUUUUCUGGUAUAACACCUUCAUCAAAAUAAAUAGCUUUUGCACCAUACUCUGAUAGACAAGGACCAAUAACAAUGCCUAUAUUUGCCUUAAGUAGACAAAGUAAGUCACCCAUUGAACCUCCAAUAUAAAUUGUCAAGUGCUCUGUGUCAUUACUGCAUCCCUCCUUCAAGAUGUCCUUAGAAACCUAAAGCUUUUCCACGACAUACUCCAUCUUCUUAAUGAUUUCACCCGUGGAAAUGGAUUCUUCACAAGCCAACUCAUUUGAAUAUACUCUCAAAACACCCAUAUCACCUGAUGAAAAUGCUGAUCUAACGAAAUCGCCACACCAACAGUAUGAAAGUCCAUGAACAUCUGCUUUCAGAUUAUUAUUUUUAAGAAUCUUUUGGAAGAAACCUGUGCAACCAUCUUGAAGAAUUAGACCUUGACCAACCUGUUUUAUAUCAUCUGAAUUUAAACCCUUCAAUACUCCAGACUGAGUCACUCUUGAAUCUGCCUUUUCCUCAAAAUCAGAAAGUUGCUCAAGUGCUUUACAUAAGCCUUCAUAAUUGAAUUUUUCCACUGUUUCACUGGGGACGAUGCUUCCCAUGCAUUUUUCAAGCUCUUCAGUAUGCUGGGUAGAUAGAACACCCCAUGUGUGUGUCCAGAUCACCAUGAGUGACCAUUUGAACCUUGACGAAUGAGAGAGUACAUAACAUUUAAGCACACAGGACAUAUAUUAACAUUCUCCAUUAGCUUCUCUUUGCCUUUGUCCACCUCUUGACCUCCCAUGCAGCCAACUGUGAAGACCACGUCCAGGUGCAGUCACGUGGUGACACAUCUCAUGGUCUUCCUCAUCCAAUAAAUCACAUGCUCUGUUAAAUCUGCUACCCGAAUGGAUACCUCCUAUCCAUCAACCUGAAUAUACUCCGAGCUUUCUUCAUAAAACCCAAGAAACUCCAGAAGGCAUCAUGGUUCUCCUCCAUCAUUGAAAUGAUUAGGGAUAGUAAAUCACUCAUCCCUUAGCAAUAUCCCAUUUUUAAACCAUAGGGUGCGUAGGCUUCUAGAAUAGUAGCAAAGUGAGCAACACGGAAAAUCUUGCGUGGAUCCAAGUUCCAUGAUGGUGAUCGUAGCCUCACCUUUGAAAUCACAAGACCCAGAACCCAUUCGUUCUUCCUGGUAAUAACUAUCAGAUGCAUAGGAGGCAGGGUUCUUCAGAUUGUUGAUUUGGUAAAAGCCUCUUCUGGUUGAACCCCUGAAUGAUUCACUUUUCUCAGUCCGCAAACCUAGUUCAGAACAGCCCGCAAGAUCAGAACCUUAACCUAGGCGUGGAGAUCCAGUGUUGUAUAACGCCUCAAUUGUCGGAAGCAGCCAUGGCCCAAACAAUGAUAUAAUGGUCAGCAAGUUGUCCCCAAGGACCAUGACAGUGAUGAGCAUUUCCGGGCAGCGCGUCACCACGUUCCACGUCGCGACGGUAAUGGCUAUGGACUGAGUGUCAUGGUCAGGGAGCUUGAUGAAGCAGGUGAAAAUCUGGUGUUUUAGAUUCUGAGGCAAUGACUGCUUGAUCGGUCGGAUUCUAGUACCGGCGUUACAUUGGGGAGGCAAUCUUAAAGUUCCAACGGAGGUAGUAGUGGACUAAUAUUCCUCAAUAACCAAACUUGAGUUUCUCACUUUCCGCUUCUCAAGGCAUUCACCUGAAACGCUUCAGGCGCCCAAACCCUUUCUGCUCAUCAGUAUAAUCACGCGCAUGAAAGUCUUAACUGCCUUCUAAACUUCACAACUUCAUCUUGCAUCUGGGUCAUCGUCGGCACGAACUUAUCACCUGAUUCAGUUAAUAUCCCCAUAUAACAAGUUCCAAUGAAGUCGCAACUUUGCAUCUUCUUUUCUGCGAUUACUUUGAUUCUCAAAGCCGAUUACUUGUUGCAGUCCAUAGGAGAUUCAAUAAUCAAACAUCAUGCACAAGCAAAAAGGCAACAAAAUACAUCGGCAUGUGGCCCAUACACCCUCCAAAAUCUUCACUCAUUUAGUAAGUUUUAGAUUCAAAAGAGUUAGCCUUCUGGUGAGCAACCCGAUACCCAUAACGAAUGAUGUAUCUGAAACACCUUUCCCACGUGGCCCUUGAAGGAUUCACUAGAAGGUGACCAUGCAUAGUAGGUCUUCACUCGCAGGAGAAUGAGAAGGAAAUAAACCUAAAGGGGGGUUGACAGCGUAGUCUAGAAGGUGAUGAGCUGAGCGGGUGGGGGUAUUAGGGUGGUCAAGUUCAGUGGGUAUGAAGGGUGGAAAGAUGGCAUGAUAGAGGAAUAAGCAGCUGAUAGUGGGUGCGAUGAUAUAAGGUAGGUUGACUAUGGAGAGUAUGGCAUUAAAGGAUGAAGACUUAGAGAGAGAGAGGUGGGUUUAAGGGUAUGGUGAGAUGGAGGGUUGAGGGUGAUAGGCUUGGAUAGUUGCAUGAGGAGGAUGAAAGGUGGGUAUGGAAAAUGUGCAUGGGUAGGAAAUGGGUAUAACAAUGGGUGUGAAUAUUGAGAGGUAGUGAAAUGAAGGCAGCCUUGCUCGUAUGGAUCAGUGUCGGAUUGAGUUAAGAAUGGUGAGAGAAAGGGAUUCGAUGAAUAUUGAAUGAUGGAAAAUGGUGAUUGGUUAGAUAGGGAUUUGUGGUCGAAUGGAAAUAGGAGACAUGAACAUAGAGAUGAGUGUGAUGGAUGAUAGUGGGCAUGAAGGGUAUUGGAUUUGUUCAUGGGUAUAGUGGUUAAAAGAGUGGUGAGAAGAAAAAAAAAUGGCCAUGUAAAUAGCAAUUAUACAUGUGGGCCCGUGAUUGCAAACGGGACUGCAUUGUUGCAUCUCAUGCUGAACCCUCACCUCCUUCUAGGAUCAUUUUCUGCAUCAAAGCUAGAUAAACUUAGAUGGUAUUUCCUGCCAAUUUUGGAUGCCCCCCACUUUGGAAAUAUUUCCUUUUCACCCAUCAGAAUAUGCUUAUCAGGUGUACUUGACUCAGGUUCAUUCCCAUAUUGCCUCUCUGAUUUAUGAUCUUCAAAGGUUUUGCAUGAAGGAAGCCUUUCACUGCAUUCCCCUUCAUCCACCAGACCUUCAGAGCAUCGUUUCCAACAAAAGCAACCUUGACUCUUCUAGUCCCAUCAGAAAAAAGUCUGAAUAUCCUCAGUUUAUGUCAUCCCUUGAUGCCCAACUCAGAAAUGAUCCAAAAAACAGUCAUCUCCCAUAUUUGGCUUCCCAGAAACACCUCGACUCAGAUGGCCAGUCCAAAUGUGAUACCCAACAUUCUAAAAAUGCUAAAAACAGAGGAGAUGAUGAAGAAAAACAGAGCAUGUAUAAAAGAAAAAAAAAAGGACUGUUAAAUCUCACUCCAUUCCAUAAAUGCUAAUGGGGUGGAUAUGGUGGAAUCAAAAGGAAGCAAGAGCGUGAUCUUCAAAAUCAAAAGCAAUGAUGGAUCCAUAUUCAAAACGUUCCAGAAUAGAGAAAGACACAAAUAAGGAGCAGGGUUUUUUUUUGUUACUGGCAGGAAGAUAUUUUUUCUAGAGAGUAACUAGAGAGAAAAAUAGGAAGAAAAGGGAAGAGCAUAGAAGACAUCUACAUAGGAGAGUAUUCAUUGUUGUGAGGAGUAGUAGAGAGCUUAGGAGGAGUUACAAAGAGAGUGAGUUUGGUUAGAGGAGGAAGUUUUGUUGGUUUUUCAGAAAGGAUUCUAGCUUGAGUGAGAGCCAUUCUAGAGAGGGUUAGAGAGGAGAAAGGUGUGUUUUGAGCAGCAAAGACACGAAGCAAAAUAGAGCAGCCAGGAAAGAGAAGCAGAAAAUCAAAAUUACUAAAAAAUUAGUGAAAGCUGUGAAAUUUCAUAUUGUUACUAAUUAUUAUAAUUUUUUUUUGUAUUUUCAAUAUUUCAACCAAUAUUUUAUAUAAUUAAAUUUAAAUUAUAAGAAUUAUAUUAUUAAUACACAUAACUAUCUUAAUGUUUUAACAAUGUAUACUUAUUUAAAUUUAUUUCAAUUUUUUUAUUUUUUUAUAAAUAUCUAAUUAGACUUAUAAUUCAUUGAAAUUAUUCAUUUUUUUUUUACUUCAUAAACCAAUUAUAUUACUUUUUGUAUUUUCAAUAUUCAUUUGGAAAAAAUAAUUUCAAUUUAAAAUAAAAUAAAUUAAUUAACUCUCAAUUUAUAAAUUGUGUCAUUGAAUUAUUUUUUAUUUAUAAUAUUUAGUUUAUUUUAAAUUUAAUUUUUUUUCUUCACCUUUUGGUUUAUCACUUUAUAUUAAAAAAUAAAAUAAAAUUGAAUUUCUUUUAAUUUAUAUUUUCACAAAUUAUUCAAUAUUUUUUUAAUUUUUAUAAAAUAAAUCCUCAGAUUAUAUAAUUGGAUGUUGUAAAGAGUUAAAAUUUUUGUGUUGCAUUGAAUUAUUUUUUCUAACAAAAGUAUAUUUGGGUACCGUAGACAUUAUAUCCAUAUCUUAACGUAUUAUAUACUUUUAUUUUGUGCAAUUAGCAAUUGAGCGGAAGACGCGGAGCCGGCUAACGGAAAUACCGCGUGUCACGCGUGUCCCUUCCCGUACCAAGUCUCAACUGCUUCAAGAUUUCCGACGCGCCCUUCUUCGCUUAACUCUUAAGUCUUUUCUUCCACUCUUCCUUAAACCCAUCACAUUUCGCCGCGUGGACCUAAGUCUCAAUGUCCUUGUGUUCAUACGAUGUAUGUUCCCCCAAUUCCUCAUCUACACUGAAACUCCAUACUCGCCUACUCAAUCACUUCUCUACUCUAGAGUCUGGAUGCUUAUCUCUGCGCGUGUCGAUGGCUCUUCACCCCAGCGAGUAUGGCAUUACAAGGGCAAUAUCGUCAUUAAAGACACAACAGAGUGUCUAUUUUAUUUAAGCUGUACGUAAUCGUGAUUGACUUCUUAGUAUCCUUUUGCUCCUAGUCUUCUCCCGCGUCUCUUAUAAAAACUAAAGAAAACCACUCCAAGAGAGCACACUACAAGAAUCUUCUUCCUUUUUUUCUUUCCUCUUUCUCUUUACAGAUAAACUGAGAAAGCCCAGCUCAUCCCUCAAUUCCCAGAUGGGUUUCAUGAAUGUUCUCAAGUUCUCAGCUGCAUGCUUUGAUCUUCUUGGCUGGUAUGUUGUCCACGCGUUUUCUUGCCAUUGGAAAUUUUUGGGAAAUGAAGUGGAAUUCUCUGUUUGAGGACAAACAUGGGAUUUUCUUUGAUUUCUCCCUGUUGGUUUUAUCUAUAUUCUUUGAAUUACCCACAUUCUUGUCAUUGAUUGUUAGUCAUUUGUUUGGAUUUCUACUUGCAGGCCUCUAUGUGCACUGGGUUAUCCUCUGUAAGUCUUGGUCUUACACCUCAAGAUAUGAUGAUUCAUUUACUCUUUUCUUGUUCUACGAAUGGUUCAGUUACAUUUAUUGUGUUGGGAAACUGAAAAGGAAAAGGAUUAUUAGUUAUUAUCGUAAUAAUCAUCAACAUCAUCUCGGUUCUUCACAGAUGUGCUUCAAUUCGGGCAAUUGAGACUAACUCAAUCUCAGACUUUCGGAAGUUGGUGGCGUAUUGGGUUCUAUUUUCCUUGAUUUCACUCUUUGAUCAUGCUUUUUCCAAGCUCCUUGAAUGGUAAUUUUGCUCAACUGCAUUCCACUAUAUGUGACUCUGUUUGUUUCAUUUCUUUGCCCUUAAGGAAUUUGGAGUUGCUUUUUUCAGUUUUCUUUCCUAUGAAAAUAAUCGAGAGGUCUCCAUGUAUUUUAUAUUCCUUCAUUUCUCUGCUUUGACAAAGGCCCACAUUCUGAUCAGCAGAAAGGUUAUAACAUUUGAAAAAGAAGUGCUUUAUUUUUGUUUUUUGUUAGUACAAUAAUUUUCGUUUGGAUAAAUGGUCUGAAGGGUGUUUGUGUUUGGCUGAGUUCAUGGAAUUUUCUAGCUAAUUUGGGAUUUAUUCUCAAUUUCAAGAUCAUUGUGGAUAUGUCAGAAAUUAAUGAAAUAUAAACGGUGGAAUGUGAUUUUCUUGUUUAAGAAAAGUUUUUCUUUGAAAAUACGGGUGCACCUGACCUACCUUAUUGUGCUACUUGGAACACAAAACAUUAGUACAGGUAAUUUAUUAACUAAAUUGUACACUUUUUGAUAGUUCAAGGAGGUGGUUUUCUUCUUUUAGGGUGUCAGCUUUGGAAAUAGGAUGGAUCUAAAAGUUUUUAUGUCUCAUCUUUAUAGGGAACUUGAAAGCAUGGAUGCACUUAUUUCCAUGGAAUUUGGCUUCCUUGAAAUCAAAUUAAGCUUUAUGCAUCAUUUGGAUGCUGAGAAACAAAUGGAAAUAGAAAAUUCAGAAUCUGACAAGUUUUUGUAGGGCAACUGGAUCUAAUCUCUUAGUCGAAGCCUAAUUGGGGCAAAUGCUGAUCAUCUUUGGACCCCAUUGAAAGCUCUAAUCUGUGCACAAUUCUAAUGUUUUUGUUUUCUUCAUUUCUUUUUCAACUUUUCACAAUAGAUGUCAAAGGUUAAAACCAAAUUUACGCAGUCCAUCCAAGUGGAUGCAUAUAAAUUUAACAGAAACUGAAAUUCGAAGAAAUUUAUUUUCCCUUUUGUAAAUGGUGUUUAAAUAUUUUAUUUUCUUAUAUAAUGCAUGUCAGGGUACCAUUCUGGCCUUACAUAAAGCUGAUGGUCAUCUGCUGGCUGGUGAUACAGCAGUUUGAUGGUUCAUAUUAUGUCUAUCAACACCUAGUUCAGCCAUGCUUGUCCAUGGAUCCACAAGCUGUCAUGAACUGGCUCUUCAAUGAAUCAAAAAAGAAGUUUCAUAGCAGAGAAAACUUUCUUGUUUCAGCAGACCGAUAUAUUAAGGAGAAUGGACCUGAAGCUUUGGAGAAACUACUUUCUAGGAAGGUAUGCCAUUAUAAGUAGGAUUAUCAACAAGUCAAACAGAGUUUUAUUUGAGAUGUUCAGGUAAAAAAUGACUAUAGUAGGUCAUCUAGAAUCAUUUGGUCUAAAUUCAUGUAUAUAUCUAUAUAUAAUUGUGUUCUCUUUUUUUCACAUAUGCAUGUGCAUUUAGAUUUACAUAAUUAUAUAUGCAUAAUCAGAUUCAACUGUGAUAGCCCGGAAUUAUUUCAGUAAUCAACUCUUCUGGGAACAUGUUGGUUAUGGUUUCUCUCUCACUGUCCUCUUCUUUAUACAUGACUUUGGCUUCAGUUGAGGAGCGCAAAGCCUAAUGUUGAAGUGAAAAAGAUCAAAGCACCUGCAGCACCGGAGAAAAAAGGGGAACAGGUAAGUUCUCUAAUGUGACUAUUUAAUUUCUAUGAGGCAGAUCCCCAGAGAAAUGUUGCUCAUGUAAAUUACUGAUGCAUUUGAUUCAAUGGCAUGGUUUUAAAAGAAAAACCACUUUAUGUAUGUUUCUGUGAAUAAGAGAACAAGUUUAUGGAUUAAAUGAUAUUUUUUAUGGUGGAUUAAUCAAUAAUUUUCAAAAUAAUAAUAUAUUCGUGCAUGUUUUUGCAAUUCAUGAAUUCCUUUUAUGAUUGAUUCUUCUUGCCUUUUUUCUCACCUCAGUGGAAGUGUGAAGAGCCUAAUGUUGCUCAAAAGGAGAUCCAAGUUGUCAAAGUAACAGAGAUAAAAAAUGGGGGGGAUGGAGCAAAGAGGGUAAGUUUUGCUUUUUAUUUAUAAAGUAGGCUGUCUUCACACAAGGAUUAUUAUCUUUAAGACAUGAAUGUUGAAUGCUUUUGGAAUUGUCCAUGAAUCAUGUGUAGUGUGAAUGGCCUAAUGCUGCUAAGAAGGAGGUCAAAGUGACAGAAGUAACACACAGAACAUUCGGUGGUACAGCACAGUGGGUAAGGUUUCAUGUCAUAUUUAAAUGGCUCCUCAUAUUUCACUAGGAUUAAUUUUGCCCCUACAAACAUAUUUGGCUACAAGUUAAGACAGAGUUCCAGAUGCUGAUAAAGUUGAGACAUAAGUAAUGAAUGAGUUUAGAAACAUGCACAACUCUUGUGUGAAACACAAUGAGAGUGGAAAAUAGCUAAGUUGAAAAAUGGCCAAAUACUAUUUUGUAGUUCCCCCUACCACUUAAGUAAUUUUUGUCAUCCUUUGUGAAUGGAAAAUCCAGUCCCUUCAGUAAUUCCGUUAUAUUCAUGACUUGGUGAAGCAUAUAACCAUUAGUGUCUUGCCUUAAGUCGACCUUUAAUGAUGAUCCAUUGAGAUGGGUCUGACUUUUGUCAACCCUCUUAUUCCCUUGAUCAUAGAGGUUAAACUUAGGGGGCUUAACCCACUUUUGAACCUUAUUGGAUAUAUGGCACAUGGUAUCCUCUUCAUCUUGAAAGAGUGAAGUGGUCAUACUCUUUCCUCUGAGUCCAUUGUGGCCAUGCACUUCUGGCCCAUUGGGCUGAGUGAAAGGAUUCCCUUCUGCUUCAAAUCAUAGAGAGAUAUGCCAUGGUCAGCCUCUUUAAUUCAAGGGAUCGAAGUACUCAAAUCCAUUUCUCUGCAUCCAUCUUAAUUCUGCAUUCAUGUCUCAUGGUUAACCAAGAAGAUCCAGCUUCCAUCCAUGAGAUCAGCAUCUGCAGGUUUAUGACACCACCCUUCCUUGGCAUAGGAAAGGGAUCAUUAAGCCAUGUGUUGGAUGACAGAAGUCAUCAUUCAGGUUAUCUUGAGAACUAAGGAAGUUGGAAUUCUAAUUAUUGCAUAUGGUUCUUGAUGUUUAGCCAAUAUACCGUAGGAUUUUAAGGAUCAUGCUCAUGUGCAUUGUGGUUGUUUAUCAGCUAUAUGGUUUACCAAAAUGAGGGACUGAUUAUGGUCAUAAGUACCUUUUUCCUAUUAAUUUCUUGCAUGUGCUCUGCUGAGAUUAUGUUUUUGACAGUCCAAAUCAGGGCAAACCAACAAACAGCUUUAUGUUAACUUUUACAAACUGCCACAUUUUCAGGUUAAACGAACAGAGAUAAAUCUUGGUGAAACUAGAAGUAAUACAACUUGUGCUGUGGAGAUAAAAGAAAGGGCAGCGGCACUGGUGGCUGCAGAAAUUGAGGCAUGUAGAGACGAUAGAACCCCCAAGAUACCUCUUCAUGAGAAAGUCCAGAAAGAGUGGGCUUGUGCUGUAUGCCAGGUCACAACCCAAAGUGAAGCGACCUUCAAUUCCCACCUUCAAGGGAAGAGACAUCAGGCCACUUCUGAGCAGCUGAGAGCCAAAAACCAGGCAACCAAAACCAAUUGUUCCCCAUCUGCUUCAAUGGCCAAGAAAUCUGAUCAGUCCACCAAAGAGGAGCAACCGAAGUGUACUUCCAACAAUCUGAAUUCCAAAAACAAUGGAAUCUCAGCUGCUUCAACAGUGAAGAAACCUGAUGACACCAAAGAUGAUGAGCGACAAAAGUCUGCAUCUAGCAAUGAACCGAACCAGAAGAAUAACAAAAAGCAAGAGGUACAGACCAAUGAGCAAGGCCAUCAGAAGAACUUAAAGCAAACUGGCGAUGGAAUGAAAGAGUUGAGAUUAUGCUGCAAUAUCUGUAAUGUAAGCUGCACAAGUGAGCUUGACAUGGCCUCUCAUCUCAAUGGAUGGAGGCACUUUAAUAUGAUAAAGGAGGCGUCUGAAUUAUGGUGCAGUAACUGCAAUGUAAGGUGCAACAGUGAGGCUGUCAUGGCCUCUCACCGAAAUGGGAGGAGGCACUUGAAGCAGCUGAAGGAACGGUCGGGAUUAUAGUGCAGUAUCUGUAGCGUGAGAUUGUGUUAGGAAGAGGUGGAAUGGGUUCCAAUCAGGAAUUAAGACUCGGUUCCAAGACAUGGAAAGUGUCUUUAGAUUAUGUUAUCUCCAUUUUUUUUAUUGUGAGAGGGGAGUAUAAGGAAUGAAAAUAAAUAUAUAUAUAUUUUUUAAUAGAGAUGAAUUUGAUAAUUUUAAUUAUUGUGUUUUGAUGUAUUUAGGAAUGUAAAAUUAAAAUAAUUAUUUAUUUUCAUUUUAGUAUUUGACAAUAAUAAAAUUAUGAAUUAAAAAAUAAUGUGAUAAUAAUACAUUUAUAUUUAAUUUAAAAUAUUUUUUAUUUUAUUUUAGAAGAAUAUGGGUUAAAUUCUUUUUUUAAAUAAUAAGCUUAAGAAAAAUAAUUUUUACUCAAUAAAUAAAAUUAAUCAUAAAAAGUCAUAACAACCUAAUAAAAAUAUAGGGGUAAAAUAAUAAUUUUAAAAUAUUAUUUAAGUUAUCCAAACAAAUUUGACUCUUCAUUCUCUCUCUUGAACCAAAUACGGUCUUUUAAGCGUUUGUCAACUUAUUUUUUUUUGCAAAAUAUCAAUAUUUUACUAAUAUUUUUAUCGAUUAUUUGCCAAUAUUUAUCGCCACGUCACCAAUUCUUUGAGUUUGACUUUCAAAAUUUUGAAAUGAUAUUUGAAGUCCAGUUCAGCCCAAAUCACUACACCCAUGAUUUUUCCCUUUUCUUUUUCUCCUUAAUUUUCACAUCACCCAACAACACUACUCUUAAUUCACACAAAUUUGAAGGUUUGGAACGAGACUUCUUCCUAAUUAUAUUGUAAUUAUGUUAUAAUAACCAUGUCGUAUUUGGAUUUAUUUAUUCAGUCCAUCUAAAUCUUUUGUUUAUUCAUGUAAAAAGAAUAUAGUUAUAAUCGAAUCCAUUUGUGACAUAUUCAUCUUUUAUAAAUUUAUUAAUUUUAUAUAUUUAAAAACUAUAAAAAUUAAAUAUAUUUUUUCAAUUAUGAAUAUCAUAUUACUAAAAUAUUAAAUAACUAAUUAACUUGAAAUGUUUUAUAUUUCAUUCAUUAUUUUAUAAUUACAACAUUAAGUGAAAUAAUAAAUAGGUUAAAAUAUAUAUUUUAUUUUAGUUAAAAAUUAUAAAUUGUUAUUGAGACGUAUAACUAUUAAAAUUCUACCCAUUUGACCAUCAAACAAACAACUUAAGUUUUUAGUCAUAAUUUAAGCUUCUGAUAAACUCUAUUUCCAUAAAUUAGAAACCGAAAUCAAUUUCUUCUUAGACUCAAAAACAUAAAGACAAUCUUUUAAUUCUAGAAGACAUCUAUCAUUUAAGAUAAGGGUAACAUAUCCCAUUGCCUAAACAACAACUCUUGCUUCAAAAGCCAAUGUCAAGUACAUAUCCCUAUCAUUCAACCUUUCCCUUAGCUAAAACCCCUAUAAAGAAUUAUAAACAUAAUCAAUGGCUCCAAAAUUUAUCCACCAAGAGUUAGUGGAAUCCAACACUAAACAUAAUUCAACUAUAAGAGAAUGAUGCAUAGUUGACUAUCUCUUCAAGAACUAAGGACAUUCCUUCUUCUUCUAAUGGCAUUUUUUACCACAAAGGAAACACUUGUCAUGACCCUUACUCUUCUUCUUCUUCCCCUUAGCCUUAAACUUCCCCUUCUGCUUGAUGAACUCUAUAGUGUUCUUCUUAUUUUGGCUAGAAAAACCUAAAGAACCCUUAACUGCCAUAUAAAUACCUCUCUGGUCCUUGAGAAUUCCCUCAGUCAUUUUGUGUUCUCUCAUUAGUUCAAUUGUAGUUUAAGAAAAAUAAUGUUUUUUAUUUUAUUUUAUGUGAUUGAACUUGGAAUGAAUUUCCAAGUUGCAUACAUACUUGGGUUGAGAUCAAGUCAUAACGUAGUUUAAGAAAAAGAUUUUUUAUUUUUUAUGUGAUUGAACUUGGAAUGAAUCUCUAAGCUACCUACGUAUCCAAGAUGGGAUCAAGUUCUAACAUAGUCACAAUGCAGUUCAAGAUUUUUUUUUUUCUUUUUUUGUGCUCUAACUUUUGUCAAGACUAAAGAUCUUAAUCUUGCAAGCAUGUCCUAACUUUUGUCUAGGUCACCUUUCCAAGUUUUCAACUUAGCAAACAUUUUUUUUUUUUGUUCUCUAACGUUUGCCAAGACAAAAGAUUUUAAUCUUGCAAGCAUGUCAUAACUUUUACCUAAGUCAGAUUUUUAGGUUUUCAAUGUGGUGGAUUUUUUUGUUUUUUAUUUUUUAUUUUUUAUUUUUUGUGUCGUAGGCAAUUUAGCUCAUACGGCCCAGAAGCGAUGUGUAGUUUGUUGGGAUUCAACCCUUAAAAGCAAAACAUGAUGUAACAAAGUUAGACUUAACUAUCCCCUUGCUAUCAUUUUGGUGUAUUAACAUUGAUUUAAACAUUCAACUCAUAUUUUACAUUGUACAUGACUUAGGUGCAUUAGGAGUUGCUCAUAAGAUACAUGGAUUCCUUGUAAGUAGAUGAGUUAUCCAUAGUCAGUUCAUGGAUUUGGGCAAUCUAGUAGAGACUGUAAUGCACCACCUCUUAAUUGAAGAGAUGACUUGUCUUGACAGUUGGGAUAGGUUUCCUAUGGUGAGUGCACUAGUAUAUAUGAUGCACAUUGGAUAGGACCUACGGUAAAUCAUGAGCAAAGCUAUCAAUUGUCAUGAUUCACCAAGUUACGAUACUGCAUGGACUCUCAAUCUUGAGAGGACAUUGAACCUGUGCCAAAAUCAACAAAAAGCUUUCACCUAUAGAUGAGACCUUAAAGUGAUCAUAUAUCCCUAUGGAUUGAGUCACUAUUGAUGAAGGUUGGUGGUAAUAGGUAUUCUCAAUAGAGGCACCAUGAUAUCUCAUGAGAUUGAGACGGUGUGUCCCCUUGGGUGAUACAAAGGACAUGUGAUCAUAAAAUCUGUGACCAUAGUAAUUCUUUUAUUGAAAUUUGACAUAUACCCCUUCGAGCUAGAGUAUGUCAGUUGAUUACAUAAUAAGUGGCAUCUAUAACUUAAGGAUUUGAGAGGUAAUCUUGAUAGGUGAUAGCACUACCUUGUUAGAUUAUGGACACCAGUUCAUGGGGAAUCUACAUGCAGUGGAUGAUAUGUCACGAACGCGAGCUUCAUAUCGUUGUUAUUAACAUAGGAUACUGGAGUGCAAUUGAUUCUCUUUAGUAGAAUGUUGAAUCAACUUCAAAAUGGAUUAUGAGGGAGCCAAUACUCCUAUGGGUCUUAAUGGUCCCCACUCUGAGCUCAUAUACCAUGAUGACACAGUUUAUGAGGGUUUGAUUGGCUUUAUGUUCAUUUUUGUGCAUAAGGGCAUUUUGGUAAUUACACAAGGUUACAUAGGGGAUAGUCAAUAAGGUCUUUAGAUUGGGCCAAUUGAUUAAUUAGAUGACCUUAUGUGGUUAAUUAAUCAAUUAUGAUAUGUUUAGGCUAGAUUAAAUGACCCAAGCCUUGAUGAAUUUAAGUCACUUAAGCCUAGCAGAUAACCUUAUAAAUACCCUCUUAUGGGUUAGGGUUUCCUAAUGACUUUCAGUUAAUCAUCUUCCAUCCCUAGAAAGAGAAAGAGAGCCAAAUCUUUCUCCCUUCCAUUGCCCACACUUUGGUAUGCCAAGAUCAUGGUUCAAGUCACUGGGAGGAAGAUCUUGGGUGUACAAGACCUUCGGACUCUUUAAGUUUCUUCUUCGUUGGAUGAAUUUUUAUUUGGGACACAUCUAGAUCAUAAGUAUGUGUUAGAAAAUUUGGCUAAUUCAACUUAAGGUAAUCACUCUAGAGGAGGGGUGAAUAGGGUGAUGAUCUUUUUUUACAAAUUUAAAUUAUGUGAAUGCAAGAGACAAUUAUACUAUGCAAAUAUAUAGUAAAACCAUAUAAAAAUAAUUGCAUAUAAAGUACAAGGGUAGAAAAUAGAGAAUAUAAACACAAGAUUUUUAUAGUGGUUUGGUGCAACUCGGCCUACAUCCAUUCUCCUCUAGCUUCAAUCCCAAGUUUGAGGUUCCACUAAUUCAAGGCUUCCAACCUAACCCUUCAAGCAAUACAAUUGGAUUAUGGUUCCAAUCAAACCUUUUGGACUUUUGGCUCUAAGCACCUUUUACAAUCUUUGAUUCGUGCCUAACUGGUGUUUGCCCUGUUGAUUGGUGUUCAAUCAACUGAUGUGCUUUGAUUUCAGUCCUCAGACGAGAGUAAUCAACAAAAUUUAUAAACCUAUUUCACCAUAUACUAGGGUAGCAUUAGCUAGCAUAGCAUAGUGGCUCUAGGAUCGUCCACAGGGAUGGGUUUUCAAAUUACAAUUGAUAUUAGUUCAAAAACUGAAUUGGUGUUUUUUCUUUUCAAGGUUAGCUUUAAAAGAAAACAUAAGUAUGUGUGAAAAGGUUGGUUUUAAGUGAAACCAAAAAUAAAGUAACUGAAAUUACUUACAAAGAAAAGUGCUUCUUGGAGUUUUAGAUCACUAGGCUCAAGUUCCUUAUACAAAAAGAGAGAUUCCGAUCACUUGGAUCUUUUCCUAGCAUUGGGGAUUUAACAUAUAGUUAUUUCCCGAACCGGUGCGGUACAGAUGCUUCCCCUUAAUGGUUUCAAACACUAAAUCUCUAUCACUGAAUCAUCUUGUAAUGGUUCAUACCUCUCACCUGGUAUUGGUCAUUUAAGGUGAUCAUUAACCUUGGAUUACCCGUCAAAAGCUCGCAAAAGAUAACUAAUGAAUGUCUCCUAGGAGUCCAAAAGCUUACCAAGUGUUGGCUAUUCUAGAUAAUCCUACCUUUAAACCAUCUCCCAAAAGCUCGCAAGAGAUAAACUAGUGGAUCUCAAUGGACGGAGUCCACUUGCCUUACCAAGUGUUGGCCCAAGUGAUUUUAAGGGAUUUUAAGUUAACUAAAAAGAUAAAAACCAUUAACGGGUCACACUUUCUCUUCAUUAAAACCUGAAACAAUGAAACUUCCACUUUUGUAUACGAAACCUUACCUAGCUUCCUUCACUCCAAGAAACAAAAAGCCUAGCCACUCAUCCUCUAGGAAAACAUCCUCAGAGUUUGAUUUGGUAGAAAUAAAAAUAAAAGAGAAAACCAAAUGUGAAGGUAAGGCCGAGCAGAGCUCUGUGUAUUACUUUAUGAAAAACUAUACAAAAUUUGUCUCUAAGAGAAACUCCCCCGAGAUCUCUUUUAAAAGAAAAUUACAAUAGAUAUCAUAUAAAGAGGCUAUUCACCCCUCUUGCUAACUUCCCAACCAUGAAAACUUGUCAAUGGUGGGUUACAAGGAGAAAAUAGGGAUUUACACACAAAUAUUUGAAGAUAAACAUCAAACUGAGUCGGUGCGCAAAUAUCUCAGAUUACAAGUGGAUUUCGCAAGUUCAAACGCAACUUGCAAAAAUUUUGCAAGUUGAAAUUAUGGUUUCGCAAGUUGCGAAAUUGUCCUGCAACUAAUCAGCUCUCUGUCCUACAACAAUUCCUUUCCUCUUCCUAUUUCGCAAGUUGUGAGAAUUUCGCAAGUUGGAUUCCACAACUUGCAAAAUUGUUGGAUGGUUGAUUUCUUUUGUGAUUUUCUUCCUUGCAUCCUCAUUUGGCUUUGGCAAAGGGUUAUGAAGCUCCAAAGCUUAGUUUCUUCAUGAAUUUGAGCUUCAACUUGCUUUGCCAUGAACUAUACAAAGAUCUCCCUCAUUCUUGGAUUGCUUUGGUGAUAAAAAAGCUAUGAAAAACACCAAAACUUAACACAAUUUGAUUAGAAACGAUUGUAAGGGUCUUUAACAUGCCAAUUGAGUUAAAAGGUAAUAGCUACUACUCAAAAGUGUUUAAAAGAGUUAAUUACAAGCUAUAAAAUGACCCUUUUUGAAGUUCAACCCCUUAAGUGAUACCCCUUAAGUGAUACCCCUUAAUUCAAGAGAUGUCUUACUCUUAAACAACCCCUUAAGUGAUACCCCAUACUUGAGAUUCCCUAAGUGAUGCCUCACACUUAGAUUUUUCAUCUCAAAGAUUUACAAAUGAAGAUAGGAAAUAAUCUCACAAAAUCUUAAUACAAAACAUUAGGCUCAAAUGAUACAAGAUAAACUAUGAUUGAAUGGUGCACUAAUAAUAUGCAAGUUUUAAAACAAUGAGUACUAAAAAACACUCUCCUAAGGUUCAAAUAUAUUCAAGAAAGAUUUAAGAAGGUUAAACUCUUGAAACAAUAAAGAUUGAAACCUUUUUAUGGAGGAGAAAUGCCAAACUAGUUGUUGGGGGUUUGUCCAGUCGAGUUCUGGUUUGACCGGUUCACUAACCGUUAGCAUUUAAUGCAUGAUAGGUGAUCAUUGGGCCUUGACCAUCCCUCGACCAGUACUCAACCGGAUAAAGUUCAACCUUAAUCAAUCGAAUAAGCAUUCUAGAAUAGAGAGAAGGUUUUUGCACCUUUCAAUCAGUUGAGUUGAACAAAUAGACGGAUUCCUUAUCCAGUUCAACCGGUUGAGCCAUUUUUGGCUCAACAAUCAUCAUUUUCAACUUAAAACCUUUUAAACAAGUUUAGAAAGCAUUUGACACAAGGAUUUAGUUGAAAACAUUAAAUCAUCCUAUUUUUAAAAGAUUUAAAACAAAAUACCUCUUGAAUGAUUUUGGUGUAUAAGUAAAUAAUGUAAUGCAUGAAAAACCCAGUGCGCCAACAACCUUACAAAGAGAUCUUAUGAGGCUUAGGUAUUGAAAAACACUUCUCUUUAAGGCAGACAACAUCGUGUGAAUACCAAAGGGGAACUCUACGUUCCUAGGGAAAGAUGCCUCGUCAGUACGUCUUGAGGUUGUUCACUAACUUCGGGGUUACCGGCUUUGAGAGGAGCCCUUUGAUGACAUUUGGGCAUGCAACUCUUCAUUUUCUUCCUUGAUUCGCCUUGUUUGGUGGAUCAAAGAUUGCAUAUGCCAGUCAUUUUUGCACUAGGUUCUCUCCAUGCUUUCACGCCAGCCAAAGUAGCUUUCGUUACCCAUAGUUGAGGAUCGGCUUCUAAAGGGUACUAACAUCCUUAGUCAUUCCCACAGAUGACACCAAUGUUGGUUCUGAGUCGGCUGAAGUCAAAUUCAUCCAACUUAACGGAAGUUUGACAACCUUCCUCCAUUUUUUGUGCCUCUUAGAGAAUCCACCUAGCAGUAAUGAGAUUGGGCGAACUCCUUUCUUGCACAAAAGAAUGUUCAGAUGAGUACUUCGGGUACGCCCUUCGAAGCUUAAGUGAGGCAAAAAUAGCUCAAACUACUUAAUGAGAGAGAGUGGAUAGGUGAAUAUGUGCCUACCUUGUUCGUGCUUUUUGAGGGGUUUAUAUAAUGUUGAUGAGAAUGCCACUAUAGUGCUUACUAGACACUUUAACUUUCUUCUAUAAUGAUGAUUGUCUUGCAGGCGGUUGGGCAAUCAUCAAAAUUUUGGGUGGCUGAUAGGUGCCAUCAACUAACGUGCCAUGAUCUUAGACCAUGCAGUAACCUGUUCCCUCAGUCUGUUGAUGGCCUAAGGUUAUGUGCAACAAUUAAUUGACAUGGACUUGAGGGCUAGAAGAGGUCCCAUCGGCCGUUCACAUGUCAAGUGUGAAUGAUCACUCAUGCUAGUGGGUCUUGAAGAUUUGACUAGACAACCUUACCUAUUUGGGAGGUCCAACCUCCCAUUGCCGUUGUUUUGGCCUUAUAGGAGAAAAGGGCUUUCUCAUGUAUGGUGCUAGAGGGACUAGUCGUGAUCCAGAUGAGUUGCAUACCCAUGCUAGAUGGUCGAAGUGUCCGGGUUGGAAAUGGAGGGAAGCCUCCCACAAAUAUGAGGGAGCCUUAUGAAAACGGAUCCUUAGGGCUUAAGAAGGGGUUUUCAAUUUUAAGGUUUGCCUUUUCACCCAAGGAUGUGAAUGGGAAGAUGAGGCGAAGUUAAAAGAUUGGUGAAGCAAAGUGAGGGCAAGGUAGGGUUUGAAUAAAGGAAAGUAUACACUAUUAAUGAAGAUGAUAAUCUCUAGAAAGAAAAACUAAGGUAAACUAGGGCUUUAAUAAUAAUUUUCAAUCUACACUAGUGAAGAGGAUAUCUUCGAAAACCAAAGUUAGGGCUUCAAUAACGAAUUUCAAUCUACAAUGGUGAAGACAAUAAUCUUCGAAAACCAAAUCUAUAAUGAUGAAGAUGAUUGAAAACUAAAUCUAUACUAGUGAAGACGAUUGGAAAGCAAAUCUACACUGGUGAAGACAAUGAAACCAAAUGUAGGUCUUCUAAACUAAACGCUUUUAAGGAUUUUCCUUUUUUUUUUCCUUUGUUUUCAAGAAAGGCAAACUCUUUAGAAAACUAAAAAAACUAAUGCAUUCUUAGAUCCAGAUCACUAUUUCCAACAUGGUAUUUGGAUUGCCAGCUUGCAUUUUUUAUUUUUUUAUUUUUUUAAUAGUCAUUGGCAUUUUAGGGAUUAUUGAAGGAUAAUAUCAUUCAGCUCAAUUUCCCAAAUUAGUUAGGUCUUACACUCAAAUGUGAAACUUAUAUGGAUGUUAGGCCAAUUAUCAAACUCAUCUGCCCUAAAACAUAAUUUCCCUUUUUUAAAAUAGUUGUUAAACAUCUAUCCCAAACACGUUUAACCCUUUGAAUUGCUUGUAUGUUAACCUUGUUUCCUUUUCUUCAUGCAACAUGGCUUAUUGAUGGUUGCAUUGAAUCAUUAUCAUUCACCAAUUCCAUGCAACUAUGGACUACAUUUCAAAUCCCUCGAACAUAAAUGGUAAUUCCAAAACAACUCAAGUAUAAUCUUUUCAACCCUUUCAAAUGAUUUAAUUAAUUGAUUUUUGAAUAUAUUCAUAUAUUUUUUUGAGCAAUUUUUAGGCAUAUAACAUAAAUCUCUUUUUUAUAUAUAUAUAAAAGGUUUUAUAUUUUAUAUUACAAUUUCCUUUUGUUUUUUCAUCUAAAAAACAAAACAUAAAACCUUAAUAAACGAGUUUUGUCACAAUCCCUUAACAAGUAAUCUAUUUUUUAAAUUACUUUAACAUUUUUAGAUAUAUUGAUUCAAUCUAAUUUACUUUUAAUAUUUUUUAUAAAAUAUUUUUACUUUAUAUGACUAUAAAUUAAUUACUAUUGAUUGCAUAUUAUAGAAUAUAUAUUCUAAAAUAUAUCUUAUUGACAAUAUAAUCAUAAGAUGUUAUAUCCAUAUCCUAACAUAUUAUAUACUUUUAUUUUGUGCAAUUAGCAACAUGGUGGGAAGUGGCAAGCAGCUUAACGGAAAUGUCAUGUGCCAAUGUGCCAUGCGUGUCCCUUCCCUUAGUGAGUCUGAACUGCUCCAACAUUUCCGACAUGUUAUUUUUUACUUAGCUCUUAAGUAUUUUCGUCUCGUUUUCGUUAACCCCAUCACAUUUCGCCACAUGGAUCUAAGCCUCAUGGUCCUUUCGUUCGUACAAUGAAUGUUCCCCCAAUUCCUUAUCUACACUAAAACUCCAUACUCGCCAUCUACUCAACCACUUCUCUACUCUAGAGUUUGGGUCCUUUAUCUCUGCACGUGUCUAUGGCUUUUCACCCCAACAAGUAUGGCAUUACAAGGGCAAUAUCGUCAUUAAAGACCCAAAAGGGAAACCAAUGGCAUUAUCUUCCUUUUGGUCUAUUCUAUUUAUAUUGUAAGUUAUUCGUGAUGACUUCUCCCAUAAAAGCUAAAAACCACUCCAAUAGAGCACACUUCACUUCUUCAUUUUUUUUUUUCCAGAUAAGCUCAGAAAGCCCAGCUCAUCCCUCAACUCCCCGAUGGGUUUGAUGAAUGUUCUUAAAUUCUCAACUGCAUGCUUUGAUCUUCUUAUCUGGUAUAUUGUCCACGCAUUUUCUUGUCAUUGGAAAAUUUUGGAAAAUGAAAUGGAAUUCUAUGUUUGAUGACAAAACUGGGAUUUGCUUUGAUUUCUCCAUGUUGGUUUUAUCCCUUUUGUUUGAAUUGUCCACAUUCUUGUCAUUGGUUGUUAGUUAUUUGUUUGGAUUUCUACUUGUAGGCCUCUGUUUGCACUGGGUUAUCCUCUAUAAAUCUUGGUCUUACACACCAAGAUAUGAUGAUUCAUUUACUCUUUUCUUGUUCUAUGAAUUCUUAGUUCUGUUACAUUUAUUGGGUUGGAAAACUGAAAAAGGAAAGGAUUAUUCGUUAUUAUCAUAAUAAUCAUCAACGUCAUCUCAAUUAUUCACAGAUGUGCAUCAAUUCAGGUAAUUGAGACUAACUCGAUCUCAGACAUUCAGAAGUUGGUGGCAUAUUGGGUUCUAUUUUCCUUGAUUUCACUUUUUGAUCGUACUUUUUCCAAGCUCCUUGAAUGGUAAUUUUGUUCAACUUCAUUCCAUCAUAUGUGGCUCUAUUUGUUUCAUUUCUUUGCCCUUCAGGAAUUUGGAGUUGCCUUUUUUAGUUUUCUUCCCUGUGAAAAUAAUCGAGAUGUUUAAUGUUCCAAGCCUCCAUGUAUUUUAUUUUCCUUCAUUUCUCUGCUUUGAUAAAUCCCCAUGAUUUGAUCAGCAAAAAGGCUAUAACAUUUGACAAAGAAAUGCUUUAUUUUGGUUUUUUAAGUACAACAAUUUUCAUUUGGAGAAAUGGUCUAAAGGGUAUCGGUGUUUGGAUGAAUCAUGGAAUUUUCUCGCUAAUUUGGGAUUUAUUCUCAAUUUCAAUAUCAUUGUGGAUAUUUCAAAAAUUAAUGAAAUAUAUAUGAUGGAAUGUGAUUUUCUUGUUUAAGAAAAGUUUUUCUUUAAAAAUUUAGGUAACCCUGACCUACCUUAUUGUGCUACUCGAAACACAAAACAAAAGUACAAGUAAUUUAGUAACUAAAUUGCACACUUUUUGAUAGUUCAAGGAAGUGGUGUUAGCUUUGGAAAUAAGAUGGAUCUACUAGUUUUUAUUUCUCAUCUUUAUAGGGAACUUUCCAUAAUAUAGCUUAUAAAUACCAUAAUCACAGUGAUGAAUAAUUGUCUUGUUUGAAAGCAUGGUUGCACUUAUUUGCAUGGAAUUUGUCUGCGUUGAAAUUAAAUUAAGCUUUAUGCAUCAUUUGGAUGCUGAGAAACAAAUGAAAAUAGAAAAUUCAAAAUUUGACAAGUUUGUGUAGGGAAAUUGGAUCUAAUCUCUUAAUCGAAGCUUAAUUAGGGCAAAUGUUGAUCCUCUUUGGACCUAUUGAAAGCUCUAAUCUGUGCACAAUUCUAAUGUUUUUGUUUCCUUAAUUUCUUUUUCAACUUUUCAACAAAGCAUCAAUUUGCUAUAAUAAAUGAGAACCAACUUGACGAUGAGAAAAAUGACUGGUGAUGAUGUCAUAGAGAAUCGCAGAUGAGAACAACCAAAAAUACUAGGAUUGGUACCACUGAUGGUAAUGAAGAAAACACAAAAAUGGUGCAAAUGGUGAACAGGAAACUCAAAAUGGAAUGGGAAAAGAAACCUAAACAAUAGUCUCCUAUAUAAAGCACACAACAUGUACAUCGAGGCAUCUGAAAGGACACGCUGCCUGAGAAGUCACUCUAAUUGAUGUGACUCCUCAUGACGUGGGUGGUGGACAUAUGUCCCAUGGUGCCAAAAAUUUCAAACACUCAAGCAACCGAAUACUUUCACUUAGUCAUUUAAAGCCUAGCUAGACUCAAUUGCAAGAAUUAAGGGCAUUGUGGGAUGCUCACCACCGUCUAUCAUGGUCCUCAAACACUGUCUGGUGUGAGACAUAUUGGCACAAGAGCCAUGUAGCUUCUCUAUCCACCCCAAGAUACUCCUAGGGUAGCAAACGAACACAAUCCGACCAAACACUAUGCAUUCCUACCCUACAAGCAUUAAUUUCAAUGAGCAAUAAGUGUAUUAACACAUUAAUGAAUGCAACCGUUAUAACGCUAAAACGCCAUACUUUAAGGUUCAUCAAGACACAACAACCAUUAUGGGCCGACAAUUAUUGGCGUUAAAUAUGGUAAUGCGCAAUCAAAGGCUCAAUUAAGGCCCUUUAGAAGACGUUACUAUUGGGCAAAGAUAAAUAACCAUUUUUUACCACAAGAAAGUCUGAUGCCAUUUUUUUCACAAAAACUUUUGCUUAAGUCUUCCAUCUCUAACCUAAGCUUUGAAGGGGUGUACUUGGAAAACCUAUCCGAACAUUCCUUUAUGUAGGUGCAAUCAUCGUUUAUGUCACGCGAAGGCUAGUCAAAGACCUUUAUUGGUCGUGCACCAAUAAAUCUAUUUAGUAUAUCUCAUUUAUCCGUUCAAGUGAGAUGAAGGAGUGACCUAAAGAUAGAUUGGAAACAUCAUAGUUUCUUAUAUUGGUAAGGCAGCAACAACCUCGGCUAGUGCAUCAACCUGCUCGUUUUCCUCUAGGGGUACGCGUUUGAUAAACCAUUCAUUCAAUUUUUCUGUUCAAGUGUACCAAAGAGAGGUAAUGAGCCAUGCAUUCAUCUCAAGCUUCAUAUUUUAGUUAGAUUUGUUCACCCACUAGUUGUGAAUUGCUUUUGAUUUCUACUUUCAUGGUUGUGAGAGCUAAGGCUAGAUCGUCUCAUAAGAAUUGCUUCAUAUUUUGCCUCAAUAUUAGAUACUGGAAAGUUGAGACAGACGACUUGUUCAAUUUGCUCUCCUGUAAGGAAUUGUUGUGUUAGUCCUAUCCUAGCUUCUGAUGUUCUAGAGGCUUCGUCUACAUGGAGAACACGCCAUUGUUCUUCAUUGUUAGACCUUGUCCAUUUUUGGGGUGGUUCGACUAUGAAAUCAAUGAGAACUUGCUAUUUGAGAUACUAAUGAGGUUUGUACCGUAUGUAAUAUUCACUCAAUUUGAUUGCCCAAUUCACCAUUCGACUAGAUAGAUUUAGCUUGUGCAACGUGACCCACAACGGUUGAUUUGUCAAGACCGUUAUUUGGUGCGCCUGAAAAUAUGGACAAAGCUUCUUGGCAGCGAUCCGUAAGUUCAGAGCCAUUUGUUCCACUUAAGAAUAUCGUGUUUUUGUGUCAAUCAUAGCUUUUCUCACAUAGUAAAUAAGUCUUUGUUCAUUACUCUAAUUGUGUGGAAACAAUAUGACAUUGACAGCAAAGUUUGACACAACCAGGUACAUGUAUAACUCUUCUCUAGCUUCAAGACUACUUAAGAUUGGUGGCUUCGUAAGAUACUGUUUGAUGUCUUUAAAGGCAUGCUCACACUCAUCCAUCUAACUAGACAUCUUUGCUCCCUAGAGUUUGCUCAAGAAAGGUCUGAGCUUAUUUAUGAAGCGUGUUAUGAACCAACCUAAGGUGAUUAGACACCCAGUUAGACGUUGCACUUCCUUCUUGCUAGUAGGAGCAGGGAUUUCUAACACUACUUUCACUUGAGCCAGAUCGACUUCAAUACCCCCUUUGAGUCACCAUGAACACAAGAAACUUCCACUCACUUACUCUAAAUGCAUAUUUUAUUGGAUUAAGCUUCAUGUCAUACCUGCACAUUAAACUGAAUGCUUCUUCCAAAUGGAGGAGCUUCUUGGAACGAGUUAUUCUCUUAAUGACAAUGUCAUCGAUAUAGACUUCCAACGUUCGACCUAUCAAGGGCUUAAAAAUAUGGGUCAUCAACUGUUGGUACGUAGCUCCAAUGUUCAUUAACCCAAGCGACAUGAUCUUGUAAAAGUACAACUCCUUAUGUGUAAUAAAUGUCAUCUUCUCUUUGUCAUGUGGAAACAUUGGUAUCUGGUGGUAUCCAAAAGAAGCAUCAAGAAAAGACAACAUUCCAUGCCUGGUUGUGGCAUCGACUAUCUAAUCUAUCUAGAGCAAUGGGAAGCUAUCUUUCAAGCAGACUUCAUUCAUAUCCACGUAGUCUGCGCACACCUGCCAUUUUUCUCCUUUCUUGGUACCACUACCACAUUUGUUAACUAGUCCAAGUAGGUCACCUCCUUGAUAAAUCUUCCUUUUAAUAGCUUCUCAACUUCUAUCUAGAUAAUUUUUUGAUGAUCCAACUAGAAACGUCAGACUUUAUAUUGUAUGGGUCGUGCUGUAGGAAGAAGGUUCAACUUAUGAGAGCUCACCGCUAGGUCUAUUCCAAGCAUUUCCGAAUGAAUCCACACGAGGAUAUCCUUGUUUUUACAAAGCAUUUCACCAACAUUACCACAUUCAUCCCUAGUUAGCAAAAAAUUAGCGUAAGUCAUCUGCUUAUUAUUUUUCGACAAAGAUAGCUAUUGUAAUAGGCUGAUUGCCAAUGAGUCUCUAUCCUCUAGUUUUCCUUCGACCUAAUUCUAUAAUUGUUAUUAGCUCUCUCUUGAUGAUUUGAGUUCAUCUUUAGUUGGGCCUGAACUCCAUCGCCACUUAGUAACACUACUAGGUGGCUAAUUGGAUUCCAUGUGGAUCCACUUACCCAAAUUCUGUCAGGUAGCUCACCAUCUUAUGAUAGGUGGAUGGAAUAACUUUCAUCUUAUGUAGGUACGACAACCUUAUGAUGGUGUUGUACGACGGUAAAUCCUCUACUAUAGAAAAUCAUACGUUGAGAGUAGGCGGGUUGGCUUGGACAAGAAGUACCACGUCGCAUAGUGAUAUUGUGGCAACCCUAUUAAACCCAAACAAAAGUCGAACUAGAUUUUCUAAGGCAGAUGACGAACAUCCCAUUUUCCUGUAGGUUGACAUAUGCAAUAAAUUGGAAUGAUCAUUUUAGGAAGGAUCACUUGAUUAAUGUUAAUUGAAGGGAAAGUGAUUGGGUCAUUGACUGGUCGGGCACUUUCGACAGUAAAUGUGCACUGAACUGCACUUACUCUUUCCCUCCCUGUAGUCGCACAGAGCAUUCGUCUCCUUUGUUGUUUGGAGUGAUAUUUGUCAUCUACUAUUUCCCCAUGGAUAUAGUUAAUCACUACUCGAUGUGUUGUGGGAGAGUCAGGAACUCACUCUGACACUUCACGUGUCAUUUCUUUAUGUCCACCAGUUGCUCAGACAUACAACUUGAGAUGUCCGGUAAUGAUUAGUUUCUCCACCAAGUAGUGCAAAUUUUUGCACUCUUCUGUGGUGUGCCCAUGCUCCUUAUGAUAGAAUCAUCGCAAUCCUCGAUCAUGCUUGGACGAAUCAGUUUUGAUGGGCUCUAGCCACUUGAACUCGAGCAGCUCUCAAAUCAAGAGGAGAAUUCUAUCAUAAAAAAUGGUCAACGGGGUGAGCCUAGGCGAUUAUCAUUGUUGUUGUCUUUCUUGUCCUUGAUUAGUCUAUCUAGACUGGCUUGAGGGCUUUAAGCUCUUAGCCUUCUUUUUUAAUUGCUCGGUUUAUAACCAGGAUUUGUUGAGAGGUUACCUAAACAUCCUCCUCAAGCAUGACAUGUUUGCCCACUCGUCUAAAUAGGUCAUUCAUUGUAGUGGGCAACUUUUUGGCCAUGGACUUGAAGAAUUGAGUGCUUGGACUGAUGAUCCAUUUGAAGAUCUGCAGGAUAGCAUCCAUGUUGUAAGAUUCCAUCUAGAACACCGCUUGUCUGAAUCACUUCAUGAAGUCCCUUAGCGAUUCAUUCUCCUACAUCUGAAUGUUCUAUAAGGUGCUUAUAUUCUGCUUUUGGCGAGCAAAACAUAAAUAAUGGCCCACAAAGGCCUCUAAAACAUCUGUCAUCUGUUGUUGGAAGUGCAUCAGGUGAACAAAAGAGUCACCAUCCCAUAGUAAAUAGUAAAUUUGGGCACCGGAAACCCCUGGGCAGCUCAUAACUAAUGAUAUGUGGGUCAAACGACAUGAAGAGCAUGUCAUCCAAUCAUCUACUUAUGGAGUCAAGAGGGGCUUUUGUCAAUGGGUUAUUUGUCGAUUGUAGUUCUAGUAUUGAACAUUAAGGCAGACGGCUUGGUGAUGCCUCAUCGUUUGAUUGGCCUAAUUGUGCUUUCAAGGCCUCCAAUAUGCAUGGCGAUGCUAGUGUUCUUCUCUCCUGAUACCCAAGAUAGGCUUUCAGGGCAUCUGAGAGACGUAAGCCCCAUUCUUAACCCAUUUUCCAUUUUUCUCCAAUAGAGCUUGCAACCUCUUUCGCUUGAGUUCGAUCGACUACUGAAUGCACUAGUUCAAGUAAUGUUAGCGAACUGCUAGUAGACAAUCCCUCAUCCACUGUUUGUAGAGACGACUUAGUGUAUCAUUGAAGAACUUUCAUUGUUUGGCUUCAAACUACUCUUGAAGUCGUCUAUUGGUUGGAGGUACGAUGACUUUUUUAUCAGCACCCCAUAGCCACUUGUGCUCGUAGCUCUUGGUUCUCUUGCUGUAGUUGUUCUGCCUGUUGGACAGGGACUACAUAGGUUAUUCAUAUUCUUCUUGCUUUUUUUCUAUCUUUCCUUGCCAAGCUUGGAAUCGCUCGUCAACAUUUGCAGAAUGAGUUGCAGGAGGCGUGUUAACCAUCGUGUUUUUUAGGCAUUUGUGGUUGAUUCCCAUAGACAAUGCCAAUGUUGGUGCACGACCAGUAAAAAAAGGUGUUUGGCUAGUCUCCAUGUAACAUAGAUGACGAUUGCACCUGCACAAAGGAAUGUCUGAAUGGGUUUUUCAGGUACACCUUUCCAAAGCUUAGGUCAGAAAUGGAAGACUUAAGCAAGAGUUUUUGUGGAAAAAUUGGUAGCAUACUUUUCUUGUGGUUAAGAAUAACUAUUUAUCUUUGUCCAACUAUAAUAUCUUCUCAGAUGCCUUAAUUGAGCCUUUGAUUGUGCAUUAUCAUCUUUAAUGUCAAUGAUAGCCAACCCAUAAUGGUUGUUGUGUCUUGAUGAACCUUAAAGGUUGGCGUUUUAACCUCAUAAUGAUUGCAUCCAUCAAUGCGUUAAUGCACUAAUUGCCUAUUGCAAUUAAUGCUUGUUGGGCAAGAAUGCAUAGUGCCCGAUUAGAUUGUGUUUGUUUGGUACCCUAAGAGUACCCUGGGGUGGACAAAAAAGCCACAUGGCUCUUGUUCUAACAUGUCUCGACUAGACAGUGUUUGAGGAUCAUGUUAGAUGGUGAUGAGCAUCCCACAGUGAAGACGUAUGAUGAAAGCAAAGGUAGGGCUUCUAAACCAAACGCUUUUAGGGAUUUUUUUUUUUUUUUCAACAAAGUUGACCUCUUCAAGGAAAAAAAAAAAGGUUAAAAAAACUAUUGCUUUUUUGGAUCCAAAUCACCAUUUCCAAUGUGAUAUUUGGAUUUCCACCAUGUAUUUUUUUUUUUUUUAACAGUCAAGGACAUUUUAUGGAUUAUUGAAAGAUAAUAUCUUUCAACUUAAUUUCCUACAUUAAUUAAGUCUUAGGCUCAAAUGUGAAACUUAAGUGGUUGUUAGGCCAUCAAACCCAUCUGCCCUAAAGUAUAAUUUCCCAUUUUCAAAAUAUAUAGUUGUUAAACAUCUAUCCCAAACUAUUGUAACCCUUUGAAGUGCUUGGUAUGUUAACCUUGUUUCCUUUUCCUUAUGCAACAUGGCUAAUUGAUUGUUGCAUUGAAUCAUUAUCAUUCACCAAAUCCAUUCAACUAUGGACUUACCUUUCAAAUCCCUCUAACAAAAAUGGUAAUUCCAAAACAACUCAAGUCUAAUGUUCUCAACUCUUUCAAAUGAUUUAAUUAAUUGGUGUUUGAAUAUACCUCUUAUAUUUUUUUAGAGCAAUUUUUAGGCACAUAACAUAAAUUUCUAAUUUUUUUUUAGAAAAGGUUUUAUAUUUUAUAUUUUAUAUUACAACUUCCCCUUUUUUUUCCAUCUAAAAAACAAAACAUAAAACCUUAAUAACCGAGUUUUGUCACAAACCCUUAACAAAUAAUCUAUUUUCCAAAAAUUACUUUAACAUCUUUAAACAUAUUGAUUUAGUAUACUUUACUUUUAAUAUUUUUUGAAAAAUAUUUUUAUUUUAUAUGAUUAUUAAUUAAUUAAGAUUGAUUGGGUAUGGUAGAAUAUAUAUUCCAAAAUACAUCGUAUUGAGAACAAUAUCACAAGAUAUUAUAUCCAUAUCUUAACAUAUUAUAUACUUUUAUUUUGUGCAAUUAGCAAUUGGACGGAAGGUAGGGAGCCGGCUUAAUGGAAAUGUCGCAUCUCACGUGUGUCCCUUCCCUUACCAAGUCUCAACAAAGGAUGAAAAUAUCGGUAAUCACGGAUAUAUCGGUACUUCGAUUUUACGGAUAUAUUAGAUAUAUCAGAGAUAUAUUGACGGAUAUUUUGGAAAAAAAUAUCGAUAAGCCUAAAAUUGAUCAAAAUUUAUAAAAAUAUAAAAAAAACUUCAUAAAAAUGUAAUUAAAAGAAGGUCGUAUAAGUUACUCAUGUUGAUCAUGUGAUAUAUCACGAGAUAUAAUCGAUUUUUGGGAAUUUCUCACGAAAAUAUCGCGACAUUUCUUCCUUGUCUCGACUGCUCCAAGAUUUCCUAUACGCCCUUCUUCGCUUAGCUCUUAAGUCUUUUCUUCUCCUCUUCCUCAAACCCAUCACAUUUCGCCGCGUGGAGCUAAGUCUCAAGGUCCUUUUGUUCGUACGAUGUAUGUUCCCCCAAUUCCUCAUCUACCUUGAAACUCCAUACUCGCCAUCUACUCAACCACUUCUCUACUCUAGAGUCUGGAUGCUUUAUCUCCGCGAGUGUCGAUGGCUCUUCACCCCAGCGAGUAUGGAAUUACAAGGGCAAUAUCGUCAUUAAAGACACAACAGGCAAACCAAUGGCAUUGUCUUCCUUUUGGUCUAUUUUAUUUAUGCUGUAAGUAUUCGUGCUUGACUUCUCCCGCGUCUCUUAUAAAAACUAAAGAAAACCACUCCAACAGAGCACACUUCAAGAAUCUUCUUUUUUUUUUUCUUUCCUCUUUCUCUUUACAUAUAUACUGAGAAAGCCCAGCUCAUCCCUCAAUUCCCAGAUGGGUUUUAUGAAUGUUCUCAAGUUCUCAGCUGCAUGCUUUGAUAUUCUUGCCUGGUAUGUUGUCCACGCAUUUUCUCGCCAUUGGAAAUUUUUGGAAAAUGAAGUGGAAUUCUCUGUUUGAGGACAAACAUGGGAUUUUCUUUGAUUUCUCCCUGUUGGUUUUAUCUAUAUUCUUUGGAUUACCCACAUUCUUGUCAUUGAUUGUUAGUCAUUUGUUUGGAUUUCUACUUGCAGGCCUCUAUUUGCACUGGGUUAUCCUCUGUAAGUCUUGGUCUUACACCUCAAGAUAUGAUGAUUCAUUUACUCUUUUCUUGUUCUACGAAUAGUUCAGUUACAUUUAUUGUGUUGGGAAACUGAAAAGGGAAAGGAUUAUUCUUUAUUAUCGUAAUAAUCAUCAACAUCAUCUCGGUUCUUCACAGAUGUUCUUCAAUUCGGGCAAUUGAGACUAACUCAAUCUCAGACUUUCGGAAGUUGGUGGCGUAUUGGGUUCUAUUUUCCUUGAUUUCACUCUUUGAUCAUGCUUUUUCCAAGCUCCUUGAAUGGUAAUUUUGCUCAACUGCGUUCCACUAUAUGUGACUCUGUUUGUUUCAUUUCUUUGCCCUUAAGGAAUUUGGAGUUGCUUUUUUCAGUUUUCUUUCCUAUGAAAAUAAUCGAGAUGUUUAAUGUUCCAGGCCUCCAUGUAUUUUAUAUUCCUUCAUUUCUCUGCUUUGACAAAUGCUCACAAUCUGAUCAGCAGAAAGGUUAUAACAUUUGAAAAAGAAGUGGUUUAUUUUUGUUUUUUUUAAGUACAAUAAUUUUCGUUUGGAUAAAUGGUCUGAAGGGUGUUUGUGUUUGGCUGAGUUCAUGGAAUUUUCAAGCUAAUUUGGGAUUUAUUCUCAAUUUCAAGAUCAUUGUGGAUAUGUCAGAAAUUAAUGAAAUAUAAAUGGUGGAAUGUGAUUUUCUUGUUUAAGAAAAGUUUUUCUUUGAAAAUGCGGGUGCACCAGACCUACCUUAUUGNNNNNNNNNNNNNNNNNNNNNNNNNNNNNNNNNNNNNNNNNNNNNNNNNNNAUCAGAUUCAACUGUGAUAGCCCGGAAUUUAAUUCAGUAUUCGACUCUUCUGGGAACAUGUUGGUUAUGGUUUCUCUCUCACUGUCCUCUUCUUUACACAUGACUUUUCAGUUGAGGAGCACAAAGCCUAAUGUUGAAGUGAAAGAGAUCAAAGCACCUGCAGCACCGGAGAAAAAAGGGGAACAGGUAAGUACUCUAAUGUGGCUAUUUAAUUUCUAUGGAGGCAGAUCCCCAGAGAAAUGCUGUUCAUGUAAAUUACUGAUGCAUUUGAUUCAAUGGCCACGGUUUUAAAAGAAAAACCACUUUAUGUAUGUUUCUGUGAAUGAGAGAACAAGUUUAUGGAUUAAAUGAUAUUUUUUAUGGUGAAAUAAUCAAUAAUUUUCAAAAUAAUAAUACAUUCCUGCAUGUUUUUGCAAUUCAUGAAUUCCUUUUAUGAUUGAUUCUUCUCACCUUUUUUCUCACCUCAGUGGAAGUGUGAAGAGCCUAAUGUUGCUCAAAAAGAGAUCCAAGUAGUCAAAGUAACAGAGAUAAAAAAUGGGGGGGAUGGAGCAAAGAGGGUAAGUUUUGCUUUUUAUUUAUAAAGUAGGCUGUCUUCACACAAGGAUUAUUAUUAUUAUUAUUGUUAUUAUUUUAAGACAUGAAUGUUGAAUGAUUUUGGAAUUGUCCUUGAAUCAUGUGAAGUGUGAAUGGUCUAAUGCUGCUAAGGAGGAGGUCAAAGUGACAGAAGUAACACAGAGAACAUUUGGUGGUACAGCACAGUGGGUAAGGUUUCAUGUCAUAUUUAAAUGGCUCCUCAUAUUUCACUAGGAUUAAUUUUGCCCCUACAAACUAUUUGGCUACAAGUUAAGACAGAGUUCCAGAUGCUGAUAAAGCUGAGACAUAAGUAAUGAACGAAUUUAGACACAUGCACAACUCUUGUGUGAAACACAAUGAGAGUGGAAAAUAGCUAAGUUGAAAAAUGGCCAAAUACUAUUUUGUAGUUCCCCCUACCACUUAAGUAAUUUUUGUCAUCCUUUGUGAAUGGAAAAUGCAGUCCCUUCAGUAAUUCCAUUAUAUUCAUGACUUGGUGAAGCAUAUAACCAUUAGUGUCUUACCCUAAGUCGACCUUUAAUGAUGAUCCAUUGAGAUGGGUCUGACUUUUGUCAACCCUCUUAUUCCCUUGAUCAUAGAGGUGAAACUUAGGGGGCUUAACCCACUUUUCAAUCUUAUUGGAUAUAUGGCACGUGGUAUCCUCUUCAUCUUGAAAGAGUGAAGUGGUCAUACUCUUUCCUCUGAGUCCAUUGUGGCCAUGCACUUCAGGCUCAUUGGGCUGAGUGAAAGGAUUCCCUUCUGCUUCAAAUCAUAGAGAGAUAUGCCAUGGUCAGCCUCUUUAAUUCAAGGGAUUGAAGUACUCAAAUCCAUUUCUCUGUAUCCAUCUUAGUUCUGCAUUCAUGUCUCAUGGUUAACCAAGAAGAUCCAGCCUCCAUCCAUGAGAUCAGCAUCUGCAGGUUUAUGACACCACCCUUCCUUUGCAUAGGAAAGGGAUCAUUAAGCCAUGUGUCGGAUGACAGAAGUCAUCAUUCAGGUUAUCUUGAGAACUAAGGAAGUUGGAAUUCUAAUUAUUGCAUAUGGUUCUUGAUGUUUAGCCAAUAUACUAUAGGAUUUUAAGCAUCAUGCUCACGUGCAUUGUGGUUGCUUAUCAGCUAUAUGGUUUGCCAAAAUGAGGGACUGAUUAUGGUCAUAAGUACCUUUUUCCCAUUAAUUUCUUGCAUGUGCUCUGCUGAGAUUAUGUUUUUGACAGUCCAAAUCAGGGCAAACCAACAAACAGCUUUAUGUUAACUUUUACAAACUGCCAUAUUUUCAGGUUAAACAAACAGAGAUAAAUCUUGGUGAAACUAGAAGUAAUACAACCUGUGCUGUGGAGAUAAAAGAAAGGGCAGCAGCACUGGUGGCUGCAGAAAUUGAGGCAUGUAGAGACGAUAGAACCCCCAAGAUACCUCUUCAUGAGAAAGUCCAGAAAGAGUGGGCUUGUGCUGUGUGCCAGUUCACAACCCAAACUGAAGCGACCUUCAAUUCCCACCUUCAAGGGAAGAGACAUCAGGCCAUUUCUGAGCAGCUGAGAGCCAAAAAUCAGGCAACCAAAACCAAUUGUUCCCCAUCUGCUUCAAUGGCCAAGAAAUCUGAUCAGUCCACCAAAGAGGAGCAACCGAAGUGUACUUCCAAUCUGAAUUCCAAAAACAAUGGAAUCUCAGCUGCUUCAACAGUGAAGAAACUUGAUGAGACCAAAGAUGAUGAGCAACAAAAGUCUGCAUCUAGCAAUGGACCGAACCAGAAGAAUAACAAAAAGCAAGAGGUACAGACCAAUGAGCAAGGCCGUCAGAAGAACUUAAGGCAAACUGGUGAUGGAAUGAAAGAGUUGAGAUCAUGGUGCAAUAUCUGUAAUGUAAGCUGCACAAGGGAGCUUGACCUGGCCUCGCAUCUCAAUGGAAGGAGGCACUUUGAUAGGAUAAAGCAGCUGUCUGAAUUAUGGUGCAGUAACUGCAAUGUAAGGUGCAACAGUGAGGUUGAUAUGGCCUCUCACCGAAAUGGGAGGAGGCACUUGGAGCAGCUGAAGGAACGGUUAGGAUUAUGGUGCAGUAUCUGUAGUGUGAGUUGCAACAGCAAGGUGGACAUGGAUUCUCACCUAAAUGGGAAGAUUCACUUGGAUCAGAUCAAGGACCAGUUAAGAUUAUGGUGUGGGGCAUGUAAUACAACCUGCAAGAGUGAGCGCAACAUGGCCUUUCAUCUGAAUGGGAGGAAGCACUUAGAGAAGAAGGGGAAUACCUGAUUUGCAUGUUUCUUCAGAUUAUUGAUACUUACAAAUGGUUUUAGUUAGAAGCAUACAGGCCAGUGGGUGGUGGUCACAGAUGCCUCUAUUUUGUUGUAUGAAGUAAAAACAGUAUUUCCAUGUCCAGAAAUCAACCACUUGUUUAGUGCAUGCAUGGCUGGUUCAAAAUUAAACCUAAUUGUGAAUGACUAGGAGCAGGGAGGGAAAAAUUGAAGGGAAGAAUGUAAGAUUAUGGCUUCAUUUUUAUUUUUUCCUCUUCUGAAAAUUGUAAGAUUGUGUUAGGAGGAGCUGGAAUGGGUUCAAAUCAGGAAUUAAGACCCAGUUCCAAGACAUGGAAAGUGUCUUUAGAUUAUGUUAAGUUAUUUCCAUUUUUUUUUCUUUUCUAUUUUUUUUCUUUAUUUAUUGUAAGAGGGAGCAUAAAUGAAUUUUUAUUUUUUAUUUUUUUUUUCAGAAUAAAGAUGAAUUUGAUAAUUUCAAUUAUUGCGUUUGGAUGUAUUUCGGAACGUAAGAUUGAAAUAAUUAUUUGUUUUCAUUUUAGUGUUUGAUAAUAAUGAAAGUAUGAAUUAAAAAAUAAAUUGAUAAUAAUACUCUUACAUUUAAUUUAAAACAAUUUUUUAUUUUUAUUUUUAUUUUAGAAGAAUAUGGGUUAAUUUUAUUUAUUUAUUUUUUAAAUAAUAAGCUUAAGAAAAAUAAUUUUUACUCAAUAAAUAAAAUUAAUCAUACAAAGUCAUAAAAACCAAACCAAAAUAUAAGGGUAAAAUAGUAAUUUUAAAAUAUUCAUUUAAGUUAUCCAAAUGCAUUCCUACUCUUCAUUCUCUUGUACGAAAUACGGUCUUUAAGCGUUUGUCAAACUUAUUUCUUUUUUGGCAAUAUAUCAAUAUUUUAGUAAUAUUUUUAUCGAUUAGUUGCUGAUAUUUAUCGCCACGUCACCAAUUCUUUGAGUUUGACUUUCAAAAUUUUGAAAUGAUCAUUGAAGUCCAGUUCAGCCCAAAUCACUACACCCAUGAAAGGGAACGGCUGGGCCACCACACUAAUAUGGCCCAUACAUGGGACCUCGUAAAAGAAUACCCAUCUUCAAAAAUAGGGACCAUAUUAAAUUAUUAAUGUAGCUAUAGGAAGCAUUUGAGGACAAGGGUCAUGAUUUUUCCCUUUUCUUUUUCUCCUUAAUUUUCACAUCACCCAACAACACCACUCUUAAUUCACACAAAUUUGAAGGUUUGGAAUGAGACUUAUUCGUAUUUAUAUUGUAAUUAUGCUAUAAUAAUCGUGUCGUAUUUGGAUUUAUUUAUUAAAUCCAUCUAAAUCUUUUGUUUAUUCGUGUCAAAACAAUAUAUUUAUAAUCGAAUCCAUUUAUGACAUAUUCAUCUUUUAUAAAUUUAUUAAUUUUAUAUAUUUUAAAAUUAUAAAAAUUAAAUAUAUUUUUUCAAUUAUGAAAUCAUAUUACUAAAAUAUUAAAUAAUUCAUUAACUUGAAAUGUUUUACAUUUCAUUAAUUAUUUUAUAAUUACAACAUUAAGUGAAAUAAUAAAUAGGUAUAAAAUAUAUAUUUUAUUUUAGUUAAAAAUUAUAAAUUGUUAUUGAGACAUAUAACUAUUAAAAUUCUACCCAUUUGACUAUCAAACAAACAACUUAAGUUUUUAGUCAUGAUUUAAGCUUAUGAUAAACUCUAUUUACAAAAAUUAGAAACCAAAAUCAAAUUCUUCCUAGACUCAAAAACAUAAAGACAAUCUUUUAACUUUAGAAGACAACUAUCAUCUAAGAUAAGGGUAACUCAUCCCAUUGCAUGUACAACAAUUCUUGCUUCAAAAGCUAAUGUUAGGUACAUAUCCCUAUCAUUCAACCUUUCCCUUAGCUAAAACCCCUAUAAAGAAUUAUAAACAUGAUCAAUGGCUCCAAAAUUUAUCCACCAAGAGUUAGUGGAAUCUAACACUAAAAAUGAUUCAACUAAAAGAGAAUGAUGCAUACCUAACUGUCUCUUCAAGAACUAAGGGCAUUCCUUCUUCUAGUGGCUUUUUUUACCACAAAGGAAACACUUAUCAUGACCCUUACUCUUCUUCUUUUUCCCUUGCCCUUGAACUUUCCCUUCUGCUUGGUGAAUUCUACAAUGUUCUUCUUAUUUUGGUUAGAAGAACCUAAAGAACACUUAACUGCCAUAUAAAUACCUCUCUGGUCCUUGAGAAUUCCCUCAAUUGUUUUGUGUUCUCUCAUCAGUUCGGUUAUAGUUUAAGAAAAAAAAUGUUUUUUUUAUGUGACUAAACUUGGAAUGAAUGUCCAAGUUGCAUACAUACUCGGGCUAAGAUCAAGUCAUAACGUAGUUUAAGAAAAAAGAUUUUUUUUUUUUUUUUUUUUUUUUUUUUUUUGUGAUUGAACUUGGAAUGGAUUUCUAAGCUACUUACGUAUCCAGGAUGGGAUCAAGUUCUAACAUAGUCACAAUGCAGUUCAAGAAUUUUUUUUUUCUUUUUUUGUGCUCUAACUUUUGCCAAGACUAAAGAUCUUAAUUUUGCGAGCAUGUUCUAACUUUUGCCUAGGUCGCCUUUCCAAGUUUUCAAUUUAGCAAACAAGGUUUUUUUUUUCUUUUUUUUCUUUUUCUUUUUUUAGUUCUCUAACUUUUGCCAAGACUAAAGAUUUUAAUCUUGGAAGCAUGUCUUAACUUUUACCUUAAGUCGAAUUUUUAGGUUUUCAAUGUGGUGGAUUUUUUUUUUUUUUUUUUUUUUUUGUGUCGUAGGUAAUUUAAGCUCAUAUGGAUUGGAAGCAAUGUGUAGUUUGUUGGGAUUAAGCCCUUAAAAGCAAGACAUGAUGUAAUAAAGUUAAACUUAACUAUUUCCUUACUAUCUUUUUGGUGUAUCAACAUUGAUUUAAACAUUCAACCCAUAUCUCUUACAUUGUACAUGAUUUAGGAGCAUUAAGAGUUGCACAAAAGAUACAAGUUAUGGGUUCCUUGUAAGUAGAUGAGUUAUCCAUAGUCAUUUCAUGGAUUUGGGCAAUCUAGUAGUGACUAUAGUGCACCACCUCCUAAUUUAAGGGAUGACUUGUCUUGGCAGUUGGGAUGAGUUUCCUAUGGUGAGCGUACUAGUGUAAAUGAUGCACAUUGGACAGGACCUAUGGUGAAUCAUGACGCAAGGCUAUCAAUUGUCAUGAUUCACCAAGUUACUAUACUACAUGGACUCUCAACCUUGAGAGGACAUUGAACCCAUGUCAAAAUCAAUAGAAAGUUUUGACCUAUGGGCGAGACCCUAAAGUAGUCAUAUAUUCCUAUGGAUUAGGUCAUUGUUGAUGUAGGCUGGUUAUAAUAGGCAUUCUCAAUAGAGGCACCAUGAUAUGUCAUGGGAUUGAGAUGGUGUGUCCCUUUGGGUGAUCCAAAGAACAUGUGAUCAUGAAAUUUGUGGCCACAGUAAUUCCUUUAGUGAAAUUUGACAUAUGCUCCUUGGAGUUAGAGUAUGUCAAUUGAUCACAUAAUAAGUGAGAUCUAUAACUCAAGGAUUUGAGAGAUAAUAUUGAUAGGUGAUAACACUAACUUGUUAGAUUUAGACACCAGUUUCAUGAGGAAUAUGCAUGUAGUGGAUAGUAGGUCAUGAAUGCGAGCUUUGUCUCGUUGUUAUUUACAUAAGGUACCGGAGUGUAGUUGAUUCUCUUUAGUAGAGUGUUGAAUCAACUUCAAAAUUGGAUUAUGAGGUAGUCAGUACUCCUAUGGGUCUCAAUGGUCCCCACUCUGAGCUAAUAUACCAUGAUGACACAAUUUAUGAGGGUUGGAUUGACUUUAGGUUCAUUCUUAUGCAUAAGGGCAUUUUGAUAAUUACACAAGGUUGCAUAGGGGAUAAUAAAUAAGGUCUCUAGAUUGGACUAAUUGAUUAAUUAGAUGGCCUUAUGUGGUUAAUUAAUCAAUUAAGACAUGUUAGGGCUAGAUUAAGUGACCCAAGCCUUGAUGGGUUCAAGUCACUUAAGCCUAAUGGGUAACCGUAUAAAUACCUCCUUAUGGGUUAGGGUUUUCUAAUGACUUUUAGUUAGUCAUCUUCCACUUUUAGAAAAAUAGAGAGAGCCAAAGCUUCCUCCUUUCCACUGCCCACACUUUGGUAUGCCAAGAUCGGGAAUCGAGUCAUCGAACAAAAGAUCUUAGGUGUACGAGACCUUUGAACUCUUUAGGCUUCUUCUUCGUUGGAUGGAUUUUGAUCUGGGAACAUCUAGAUCACAUGUAUGUGUUAUAAUAUUUGGUUAAUUCAACCUAAGGUAAUCACCCUAGAGAAGGGGUGAAUAGGGUGAUGAUUUUUUUUUGCAAAUUUAAAUUAUGUGAAUGCAAGAGACAAUUAUAUGCAAAAUAUAUGGCAAAACCAUAUAAAAACAAUUGCAUAUAAAGUAAAAGGUUAAGGAAGAGAGAAUAUAAACACAAGAUUUUUAUAGCGGUUCAGUGCAACCCGACCUCCAUCCAUUCUCUUCUAGCUUCAAUACUAAACUUGAGGUUCCACUAAUUCAAGGCUUCCAAUCCAAGCCUUCAAGUAAUACAAUUGGAUUAUGGUUCCAAUCAAACCUCUUGAAAUUUUAGUUCUAAACACAUUUUACAAUCUUCAAGAGAUACCUCACUCUUGAACAACUCCUUAAGUGAUACCUCACACUUGAGAAUCCCUAAGUGAUACCUCACACUUAGAUUUUUCAUCUCAAAGAUUUAUCCGCUCUGCACCCACCUCCCGAGUAUAUGCUUCAACAGGAAUCACACAAGGGUAGAUUGAUACAAUAGAAACCUCUGGUAAAAUGCCCGCUCGUAACCCAGCAGAUAAAGUACAUUACAUAGUCCGUUUUAGGGAUUGGCUACUUACCCAUUCAGUGACUUUGGCACUGGACGUUCCCAAAAUGGGUACUAUCGGGUCGGGUGAAUUCAAUAAUAGACGCCUGUUGGCAUUCCAGCCUUCCUUCUCCUUUCAGGGCCUAUCCGAAAGAGAAUCCAGUACUUCUUGGUCAAAUGAAGAUAGGAAAUUAUUAGCCUAAGGACUCUCCUAAUCGGGUUUUGAUGAUAACAAACCAUGAUUAAAUGACUAAUUGGUUUAAUGGUUAAGAAUCUCAAGCAUAAACUCGAAAAUUCAUCAAAUGACCAAAUGGAUACAAGAUCGAGACAUUUGGAAGACUUGUGAUCAUAGGAAACUAAUGUAAGAUGAAUGCAUGAGUGCACUUAGGAUUUUCAUACCGUUUCAUACAAUUUAGAAAACUCAGUUUAUUCUUUAAAACUUCAAUUUCAUUAAAACCCGAGUUUUAACAAUUGUACCUCAGGCAAAAUGUUUUAAAAUUGGCAUAAUAAUUCACCUAAAAACCUUGCCUAAGUGUUAGGAAAGAAAGGAAUUGAAAAAGAUAGGUUUUCGGGGCCAAAAGGCUCAACCGGUCGAGGCUAUGGCCAACCAACUCAACCGGUUAGGGAAUCGGUCGACUGGUUACCCUUGUCCAGUUGAGGUCCGAUCGAAGGAUGCACAAAAUUUUCUCUCUCUCCCAGUAGCCUUCUCUUCCCGGUUGAGGUUAUUCUCUUCCCUGUCGAGGUCCGGUAUAGGCAACGGUAACCUGUCAAGCAUUAAAUGCUCCAACGGCUAGCGAACCGGUCAACCCCUAGCUCGACCGGUCAAGGUUACCUUUUGUUGUUUUUGACUCCCGAGCUUAGAAACCUAUAAAUUGAGAGCUCCACUUCAUUUAUUGACGAGAUAACACUUGCAAUCAAUUGUCUACCUAUUUGUUCUUGAUCAGAAAGCUCUCAUUUCUUUCUUAGUACAUUAAAUCAUCACUUGCAUAUCCUUUAGUGCACUCUUGUGUGUCAUCCUAGAUUUGUCUUGUAUUUGAGCUAUCUUUAAGCUAGGUUGAGGGAUUCAUUCUUGUAAAAACCGAGUGUUAAAGCCUUCAAGAAGUUUAAAUCUUGAAGAGAUUGUGUAAGAGUCCAUUGGAGCCAAAAUCCAAGUGUAAGAAGAUUGGAAGUUUGGUUGAAGUUUCAAGUUAGUGGAACCUUCACUCGGUUAGGAGAUUGAGGAGACUGAACGUAGGCAAAGAAGUGUCGAACUACUAUAAAACCCGAGUUUGAAUUCUCUAACUCUAGCUCUUUAUUUUGCUUAUAUUGUGCUUGAACUCGUUGUGAUUUAAAAGAAUUUAAAAAACCCCUAUUUGGGUGUUUUUCUUAAUUAAGCAUAGCCUUUAUUUUCUCAUAAAUAAUCUUACAAAAUCUUAGUACAAACUUUAGCCUUAAAUGAUACAAAAUAAACUAGGAUUGAAUGGUGCACUAAUGAUAUGUAAGUUUUAAAACAAUGUGUACAAAAAACACUCCCCUAAAGCUCAAAUAUAUUCGAGAAAGGUUUAAGAAGGUUAAACUCUUGAAACAAUAAAUAUUGAAACCUUUUUAUAGAAGAGAAAAACCAAACUACCUGUUGGGGAUUCGUUCGAUCAAGCUCUGGUUCGACCAGUUCACUAGCCUUUAGCAUUUAAUGUAUGAUAGGUGACCAUUGGACCUUGACUACCCCUUGAUUGGUACUCGACCGGAUGAAGUUCAACCUUGAUUGAUCGAAUAAGCAUUCUGGAAGAGAGAUAAGGUUUUUGCACCUUUCAACCGAGUAAGCUGAAUAGGUCGACUAAUUUCUCAUUCGAUUCAACCGAUUGAGUCAUUUUUUGCUCAACAACUAUUAUUUUCAACUUAAAACCUUUUAAACAAGUUUGGAAAGCAUUUGACAUAAGGUUUUAGUUGAAAACAUGAAAUCAUCCAAUUUUUAAAAGAUUUAAAACAAAAUAACUCUUGAAUGAUUUUGGUGUAUAAGUAAAGAAUGUAAUGCAUGAAAAACCCAAUGCACCAACAACCUUACAAAGAGAUCCUAUGAGUCUUAGGUCUUGAAAAACACUUAUCUUUAAGGUCUUCUUCUUCUUAUUGAUUUUAUCUUUGUGAUUGCCACUUUGGAAAUCAUCUUGCCUAGUCACACUUAAAAUAUAAUCAUUAGUUCUAAAUCUUGUUUUGUUAUCAUCAAAACUAAGAUUAACCAAACCUUGGUUUCACAAUAUGAAUAUUGUAUCUCUAGAUCUAUAGUUAAUAGUGGUUUUUAUAGUCAUUUGUUUCCAUUGCGAUAAAUUUAGAGAAGCUUAGGGAUAGAUGAAUGCACCCUAUGAGAUCUAGGGCAUAGGAAUGGAGUAAUCCGGGGUUCCUAACAUAGUUUAGGCUUGUGCUUCAUGGAGUGAUAACAAUUCUUCAAGCAUAGUUAUGCUUUAGAAAUUUGUUAUUGAUUGGUCCAAUUUUUAGACCAUCUUCAGCAACAAUCUUGUGUGCACCAUUGAUAUAAUCUUGUUAUACAAAAUAUGAUCUAUCACAUUUUUGGCAAGAACUUUCCACUGGUUUUGUGCAUGGUAAUGAUCAUGCAUGCAAACUUAACUAAGUUAUACACUAGAUGCCAAACUACUACAAUUCUUAUACACCUUCCCGUUUUGUGCAACUGAACAAUUCAACAUCAUAACACCAAAGUUCUUGCUUAGAUUUCCUACAGUGCUAAAAUUUUGAAAUGAUUAAUUUGUUUAUUUUUCUUUCAAUCCCAAGACCCACAUACAUCAUGUCAUGCCCUAAGACCCACUCUAAGGGCAUGACAAUCAUUUCACAUCUCAAGGUCGAAAGCUCAAAGUGUAAAUUGACCUUAACAUUCAUUUUGUAACUGGAAAAUUAUCAAUUACCAAAUUCAUAUUUAUAGUAGUAGAAUAAAAUUCUACAAGUUUCAAAUCUCAACUUUAAAGUUAACACAUCAACUAAAGUGUUAUUGUCCAAACAACUUCAAACUUAACAAUUCAAGCAAUCAUUAAAUUCUAACUUUCAAAAAAUAUUUUUUAAAAAUAAAGAUUUAACGAAAAGUCUUAGUAUUGCCAAAAUCUCAUCCUAACCUUCACUCCUAGCCUGAAUUAAGGUGCCUAAAAAAUUGUCAAUGAAAGGAAAUGAGAUCAACGCUCAAUAAGGAAUAUUAAUAAGGUUUCAUGGAUCAAACAUUUUUAAUUAUAAUUCCAAAUAGGAGAUAUAAUAUAUAAUCAUUUUCAUAAGAAAUUUUGAGUUUAAAUAUAAUAAUAUAUUGAAAACUUUUCAGCUAAACAUUUUCAUAUCUAUGUCAAAACAAUUUCAUAUCAAAUUCAAAUCAAAUAUAUACAAAAUAUUUUUACUUUGGUUAUCAAAUGUCACAUGGUGUCAAGUUAGGUGGGACUUUACAAAUUGGUGUCUAACCUCAAAUUUUUUCCUUUCAAGGUGGACGAAACCAAACACUACUAGUAUUAUUAACAUCUAACCAAAUCCCUAAAGGGUGAGAUCUAAAGCAAUUACAUUCUCCGCCAAGAAAUAUAAGGUCAACAAUUAUAACUCGUUGACUAGGGACAAAAAUAAACUAGAGUCAAACACCUUAUUUCAUUAAUUCAAACUUGCAAAACAAAAACAUCAUAUCUCCAUAAUUUUCAUUUUUUAUAAACAAAAGAAAUGUUCUAACAUAGUUUUUUCAUGAAAAAUAUAUAUUUGAUCCAUGCAUAAAAAUAAAAAUAAUUUUUUUAUUAUUCAAAAUAACAUAUAAAAAUAAAUAUGUUCUUUUGGCCAAAACAUGUAUUAAUUUUUCUUACCUCAAAGAAACACUCAAAGACCUUGAAGCAAUUAAUCCUAAAGAAUUUCACCCCAAAAAACAUAUUUCACACCUUACUAAAAAAAAAAAAACAAAACAAAAAAAUUACUAUUGAUUAUUUAUCUAAUAAUAGUUUUGUAUUUUAUAUCACCUAUAUUAUUUUUAACUUCCUAAUAAAUAACAAUUUAAUAAGCGAUUUUCCAAAUUUUUAAAAGUUAUGUUCUUUCCAAAAUUUAUUCAUAAUAUUCUAUUAUUAUUAUUAUUAAUUAAAUCUCUCAAAAAUAUGUUUUUUCUAUUUAUUGCAUUAAACUAUUAUUAUUAUUAUUCAAUUUCAAUUUGAUUAAUUGGUUUUUUCUUUUAAAUUCCUAAUUUAUAUAAGAUUCUUGUUUUGAAAAUCUUCCAUAUUUACUUAUUUGUUUAAAGUAAAUUUCUCCAAAACUUGUUCCUUUUGGUUAAACAAGUAUCUUUUCCUAUUAUUAUUAUUAUUAUUAUUAUCCCUAAUAUUAUAUUCAAAUAACUAAACAAUAAUAAUUUAAAUUAGUGAGUUUCCAAAUUUUUAUAAAACUCAUAUUCAUUCUAAAUCUUAUCAUAUAUAUCAAUUUCUUUUAUAUACUUAAAUUAAAUUAAAAAAUUUACUUAAAAAAUAUAUAUAUUAUAUUAUUACUUUCAACAUCCUUCUACCACCCAAACAAUUACUUCAAGUAAAAGUCAUAUAUCCUUAUUCUACUAACUAUCCUCUCUCUUGCAAUAGCACACUUAGGGAUGGCAAUGGGGUGGGUUCGGGAUGGAUCGCCCCUAUCCCAACUCCUCCCCAUUUAUUCAAAAUAAUUUUCAUCCUCGUCCCAUUUAAAAAAUUAAAUGAGGCAGGGCGAGUAUGAUAAAUUCUCAUAUUCGCCUCGCCCCGCCCCGUUUAACUCUUUUUUGAAUUUUUUUUUAAAAUUACUUUAAAAAUUUUUAAUUACAUUAAAAUAAAUAUAUUUUAUAAAUAAUUAAAUUAUUAUAUUUUUUAUAACUUAUUUUAUUAAAAAUAUUUUAUUAUUAUCUAUAUAUUAAAAAUAGUAAAAUAAAAAUUAAAUUAAAUUAAUUUUAUAUAUAAUUGGGGUGGGACGGGAUGAGGCAAUACCCAAACCUGCUCCGGGUUUUAAAAAAAAUUCUCAAACCUAUCCCAAACCCGUUUAUUAAAAUUAAAUCUCGUCUCAUUAGGGACGAGGCGAGUACCUGAAAAAACCUGCCUCAUUGCCAUCCCUAGGCAAACUUUCAUUUUUUUUUUUUUUUUUAUCUUUUUCCUCCUUAAGAUCAAUCCUAUUGUAAGCACCCUUUUUUUUUCUACCACAUCUUGUUGCAAGCAACCUUGUAAGUUUUUUUAAUUUAAAUUUUUUUUCCACUAUGGAGGCACGUACAACCAUAAAACCUCCUCUUUUUUUUAUUUUAUUUUUACAACUCUCAAAUCUCUCAACCUCCAUACUAUUAGGUUUUAUUCAUUUAUUUAUUAUUAUUAUUAUUAUUAUUAUUAUUCCAUAUCCAAAACUAUAAUUAAUUUUCUUUUAUAUUUUUUUAUUUUAGAUCUAUUAAUUUGAAUAUUCGAAAUUUUCUAAUCUUACUAAUAACUCUAAACGUUCAAAACUAAUUAAUGAAUAUAAAAUAUUAAUCUAAGGAUUAAAAUCUUAUAUAGAAAAUUGAUCUUUAAAUCCUAAACUCCCAAAUUUUCAACCUUACGUUGCCCUAUGUUGUCCAAUCUCUUAGAUCUCCAUGUAAAAGGGUUUUUUUUUUUAAUAGAGUAAAUAAGAAAAAUUUAAUUUAUACCUAAAAUUUUAAAAUGGAGAAAAAUCUUUCUACCCUUAUUAAUUUAAUUAAUUUUUUUAAAUUAUGUUUUUACCCUUGAAUUGGGUCUGGGCAUCACACAUCAUACUAAAAAGUUAUCAAUAACCAUCCUUUGAGGCACAUUAGCAUAAAUUUGCGACUUUAGUUGUGUUCUAGGUGCAAUUCUAUUAUGUUUAAUUGAAAAAUAACACCCAUAGCACAACCAAGCCUAAUUGACAGCAUUUGGGCAAAUAAAUGGUAAAUUUCUAAAAGUUCACCAAAAAAAAAAAAAAACAAAAAAGAUCAUAAAGGGCAUAUUUUUCAAGUCAACCUAGUUUUGGGAUAUUGCAAUCCAAUCUAAGAAUGCAAUAAUAGCUCUUUAAUUCAUAAUUUUAAAUUCACAAAAGAUAUCACCUAAAAUUACUAUAGGUUACCAAAACAUCAACAACAUAUAGAAAGCUUAGAAAUGCUUGGAACCUAUCGAAUUUUCACUUUUUAGGAAUAAAAAAAAAAUGAACUUUAAGGAUUUUAGGGUAAUACUUGCUUGAACCAUCUUUCAAUCCUUUUGUUGGCGGUGGGCCUUUUACCUAUAAGAACAGGAAUGAGAGGUGAAAAGGAGGGAGCCUUAUGAAAACGGAUCCCUAGGGCUUAAGAAGGGGUUUUCAAUUUUAGGGUUUGUCUGUUCACCAAGGAUGUGAAUGGGAAGAUGAGGUGAAGUUAAGAGAUUGGUGAAGCAAAGUGAGGGCAUGGUAGGGUUUGAAUAAGGGAAAGUCUACACUAUUAAUGAAGAUGAUAAUCUUUAGAAAGCAAAGCUAAGGUAAACUAGGGCUUUAACAACAAUUUUCGAUCUACACUAGUGAAGACGAUAUCUUCGAAAACCAAAGCUAAGGCAAGCUAGGGCUUUAAUAACGAAUUUCAAUCUACAAUGGUGAAGAUGAUAAUCUUCGAAAACCAAAUCUAUAAUGGUGAAGAUGAUUAAAAACUAAAUCUAUAUUGGUAAAGACGAUUGGAAAGCAAAUCUACACUAGUGAAGUCAACGAAACCAAAGGUAGGUAAAAAUAAUAAUAAUAAUAAUGCAUUCUUAGAUCCAAAUCACCAUUUCCAACAUGGUAUUUGGAUUUCCACCUUGUAUUUUUUGUUUUUAAUUUUUUCAAUAAUCAAGGACAUUUUAGGGAUUAUUAAGUGACAAUAUUCUUCAACUCAAUUUCCCACAUUAGUUAGGUGUAAGGCUCAAAUGUGAAACUCAUAUAGAUGUUAGGCCAAUCAUCAAACUCAUUUGCCUUGAAGCAUAAUUUCCCCUUUUUAAAAUAGUUGUUAAACAUCUAUCCCCAACACUUGUAACCCUUUGAAGUGCUUGUAUGUUAACCUUGUUUCCUUUUUCUCAUGAAACAUGGCUUAUUGAUUGUUGCAUUGAGUCAUUAUCAUUCACCAAAUCCAUGCAACUAUGAACUACCUUUCAAAUCCCUCGAACAUAAAUGGUAAUUCCAAAACAACUCAAGUAUAAUCUUUCCAAGCCCUUCAAAUGAUUUAAUUAAUUGAUGUUUGAAUAUACUUCAUAUAUUUUUUUAGAGCAAUUUUUUAGGCAUAUAACAUAAAUCUCUAAUUUCAUUUUAUUUUUUUUAUAAAAGGUUUUAUAUUUUAUAUUACAAUUUCCUCUCUUUUUUUUCAUCUAAAAAAAAAAACAUAAAACCUUCGUAAACGAGUUUUGUCACAAUCCCUUAACAGGUAAUCUAUUUUUAAAAAUUACUUUAACAUUUUUAGAUAUAUUGAUUCAGUCUAAUUUAAUUUUAAUAUUUUUUAUAAAAUAUUUUUAUUUUAUAUGAUUAUAAAUUAAUUACUAUUGAUUGCAUAUUAUAGAAUAUAUAUUCUAAAAUAUAUCCUAUUCACAAUAAUAUCAUAAGAUAUUAUAUCCAUAUCCUAACAUAUUAUAUACUUUUAUUUUGUGCAAUUAGCAACAGGGUGGAAGACGGCUUAGGCGGGAGACGGCUUAACGGAAAUGCCGUCUGCCAUGCGUGUCCCUUCCCUUAGUGAGUCUGAACAGCUCCAACAUUUCCGACACGCCCUUCUUCGCUUAGCUCUUAAGUAUUUUCGUCCCGUUUUCAUUAACCCCAUCACAUUUCGCCAUGUGGAUCUAAGCCUCAUGGUCCUUUCGUUCGUACGAUGAAUAUUCCCCCAAUUCCUUAUCUACACUAAACCUCCAUACUCGCCAUCUACUCAACCACUUCUCUACUCUAGAGUCUGGAUCCUUUAUCUCUGCACGUGUCUAUGGCUCUUCACCCCAGCAAGUAUGGCAUUACAAGGGCAAUAUCGUCAUUAAAGACCCAAAAGGCAAACGAAUGGCAUUAUCUCCCUUUUGGGUCUAUUCUAUUUAUAUUGUAAGUUUUUCGUGAUGACUUCUCUCAUAACAGCUAAAAACCACUCCAACAGAGCACACUUCACUUCUUCGUUUUUGUCUUUCCUCUUUUUUUUUUUUAGAGAAGCUGAGAAAGCCCAGCUCGCCCUCAACUCCCCGAUGGGUUUGAUGAAUGUUCUCAAAUUCUCAGCUGCAUGCUUUGAUCUUCUUGGUUGGUAUGUUGUCUACGCAUUUUCUCGUCAUUGGAAAAUUUUGGAAAAUGAAGUGGAAUUCUAUGUUUGAGGAGAAACUGGGAUUUGCUUUGAUUUCUCCAUGUUGGUUUUAUCCCUUUUGUUUGAAUUGUCCAGAUUCUUGUCAUUGAUUGUUAGUUAUUUGUUUGGAUUUCUACUUGCAGGCCUCUGUUUGCACUGGGUUAUCCUCUGUAAGUCUUGGUCUUACACCCCAAGAUAUGAUGGUUCAUUUACUCUUUUCUUGUUCUAUGAAUUCUUAGUUCAGUUACAUUUAUUGGGUUGGGAAACUGAAAAGGGAAAGGAUUAUUAGUUAUUAUCAUAAUAAUCAUCAAUAUCAUCUCGGUUCUUCACAGAUGUGCUUCAAUUCGGGCAAUUGAGACUAACUCAAUCUCAGACGUUCGGAAGUUGGUGGCGUAUUGGGUUCUAUUUUCCUUGAUUUCACUCUUUGAUCAUACUUUUGCCAAGCUCCUUGAAUGGUAAUUUUGCUCAACUUCAUUCUUUGCCCUUCAGGAAUUUGGAGUUGCUUUUUUCAGUUUUCUUCCUUGUGACAAUAAUCGAGAUGUUUAAUGUUCCAGGCCUCCAUGUAUUUUAUUUUCCUUCACUUCUCUGCUUUGAAAAAUGCCCACAAUCUGAUCAACAGAAAGGUUAUAACAUUUGAAAAAGAAAUGCUUUGUUUUGGUUUUUUAAGUGCAACAAUUUUCAUUUGGAGAAAUGAUCUAAAGGGUAUUGGUGUUUGGCCGAAUUCAUGGAAUUUUCUCGCUAAUUUGGGAUUUAUUCUCAAUUUCAAGAUCACUGUGGAUAUUUCAGAAAUUAAUGAAAUAUAUAUGAUGGAAUGUGAUUUUCUUGUUUAAGAAAAGUUUUUCUUUGAAAAUGUGGGUGACCCCAACCUACCUUAUUGUACUACUUGGAACACAAAACAAAAGUUUUUCUCGCUAAUUUAUUAACUAAAUUGCACACUUUUUGAUAGUUCAAGGAAGUGGUGUCAGCUUUGGAAAUAAGAUGGAUGAUUGUAGGGAACUUUAUUUCUCAUCUUUAUAGGGAACUUUCCAUAAUAUAGCUUAUAAAUAUCAUAAUCACAGUGAUGAAUGAUUGUCUUGUUUGAAAGCAUGGUUGCACUUAUUUCCAGGGAAUUUGUCUGCGUUGAAAUUAAAUUAAGCUUUAUGCAUCAUUUGGAUGCUGGGAAACAAAUGGAAAUAGAAAAUUCAGAAUCUGACAAGUUUGUGUAGGGCAACUGGAUCUAAUCUCUUAGUCGAAGCUUAAUAGGGGCAAAUGCUGAUCAUCUUUGAACCUAUUGAAGGCUCUAAUCUGUGCACAAUUCUAAUGUUUUUGUUUUCUUCAUUUCUUUUUCAACUUUUCAUAAUAGAUGUCAAAAGUUAAAACCGAACUUACGUAGUCCAUCCAAGUGGAUGCAUAUAAAUUUAACAGAAACUGAAAUUUGAAGAAAUUUAUUUUCCCUUUUGUAAAUGGUGUUUAAAAAGUCUGUGUGUAGUUUGGUUUUUUUCCUGGAAGAUCAGAUGAUUUCGUGAUCAUUUUUUCUAUUUGCCUUAUCAUCAUGAGAUUUAAGUAUUUUUUUUAAAAAAAUAUUUUAUUUUCUUAUAUAAUGCAUGUCAGGAUACCAUUCUGGCCUUACAUAAAGCUGAUGGUCAUCUGCUGGCUGGUGAUACCGCAUUUUGAUGGUUCCUAUUAUAUCUAUCAAUACCUAGUUCAUCCACGCUUGUCCAUGGAUCCACAAGUUGUCAUGAAUUGGCUCUUCAAUGAAUCAAAAAAGAAGUUUCAUAGCAGAGAAAACUUUCUUGUUUCAGCAGACCAAUAUAUUAAGGAGAAGGGACCUGAAGCUUUGGAGAAACUACUUGCAAGGAAGGUAUGCCAUUAUAAGUAGGAUUGUCAACAAGUCAAAUAGAGUUUUAUUUGAGAUGUUCAAGUAAAAAAUUACUAUAGCAGGUCAUCUAGAAUUAUUGGUCUAAAUUCAUGUAUAUAUCUAUAUAUAAUUGUGUUCUCUUUUUUUCACAUAUGCAUGUGCAUUUAGAUUUACGUAAUUAUAUAUGCAUAAUCAGAUUCAACUGUGAUAGCCCAGGAUUUAAUUCAGUAAUCAACUCUUCUGGGAACAUGUUGGUUAUGGUUUCUCUCUCACUGUCCUCUU